This 56274-nucleotide long non-coding RNA is filed under the name Capsella rubella. RNAcentral's name for it is "long non-coding RNA (CRUB_LNC003492)". The stretch from base 43051 to 43124 matches the Rfam family "tRNA". Lineage: Eukaryota; Viridiplantae; Streptophyta; Magnoliopsida; Brassicales; Brassicaceae. The record is from RNAcentral.
UUGUUUCAACCAAUGUAUUCUAAUUACAUAGGCUUGUAUAUUACAAAUGGUAAGAUUCGUUUCAUGCUUAAUCAAUGUUUUCAUUUCUAUGAAGUGUGUCAAGUAUAUGUAUAUUUUCUGUGAUACCAGCCAAAAAAAAAAAAAAUGGUUUUAGAGAAUUAGUUUAAUGUGUAUAUAUCAAUCUUUCAACGGCUCUUUGAAGUUAAGGAGAUAGCGAUUGAUGAGACAGCGGUGAACAACGACAAAAAAAAAAAAAAAAAAAAAAAAACUUAGUAACCAACGGAUAAAGAAUUCGAAAUCAGGGACCUCUAUGCAAUAACAAGAAAUAAACUCCUAAAGAAUUUAGCUGUGGCAAAAUCUAAUUUUAUUCUUUUACCUAUGCGACCUAAAUUUAUUGAAUCUAUAUCAUUGCAUGAAAGCGUAAAACAUAACAAUUAUUUAUUUUGUCAAAUAAUAAUAAUAAUGUGUAACAUAAUUUUACACUGCAUUUAUAAUCUUAUUUUGUAGCUACCAAAACUGGCAAGACUAUGGAUGAUGAUGAUAAUGGUAGUAACGCCAAAGGACAUAUUUGCAGACUUUACAAUGAAAUCUUCAACCUUUCUUCUGCAUCCAUGGUGAUGGUAGCUCCUCAAAAGUCUCUCUGUACACCAAAGAACCCUACAUAACUUCAUCUUCUCAUCUCUUUAAGAAAACCCAAUCCCUUCAAGAUGGAGAAUAUAUAUAUAACCAACCCCCCAUAGAUAACUCCAUUAUUCAUCCAUCCAUGUCCUGCAUCAGCUUGCUCAAGCUAAUUUACCCAAAGAUCUCCAUCCACAAAGACAACUAUGGUGGAUCUUGUCAUAUGGUUUCUUCUAGUGAAUUGCCAUUAUUCUCAUGUAAUAGCUGAAGGCAUUCAUAUGGAUUAGCGUAGAAGUAGUCCUCUUCUUUCGGUCUAUUUGGAAUCACUAGCCGUCUCUUUGGCCCUCCCAUUCGUGUAGCGUGAAAGGCCUUAACCGUGGUUGAAAACACUUCCCAGCUCAACAAUCCUUCAUAGUACUCAUCUAUUAGCUUCACCAAGAACUUCCUGUUCAGCUCAAUCGUCUUCUUGAACCCCAAGAACCUGUAUGUCAUCUAAAUGCAUUAGCCGUUGAUGUAAGAAACAUAACCUAUUCUUUAGAUUAGAAAAGUUACAGCAAAUGAUUCACCUGCGAUGACCUUCCACGACUUUCGCCAUGUUCCCAUAAUAUGUAGGAACGAAUAUGUCACUUUCAAGAGAUAUAAGGUAAUCCAGAGCAGCCAUUUGAGAAGAAUGGUUCUGACAAAAACUCAAAUCAGAGGAAUCCAGUAGAGUUUCUUUCCUGACCUGGUUUGAUCAAAAAUAUUAUAUAUCCGUUACUAACUAUUGAGUGAAAGAUUAAGGAAUUAGCCGUUUUUUGAUAGUAAGCUCUUGCUUUUUGCUACUAACCACAUUUGGAAAAACGUCAGUUAAAGCCUUUAACCGCCUUUUACCACCAUAUAUUUCUCCGGCAGCAAUGUAAAUCUGAACAUUACGGUCAAUACCCAAUGCCGAUAGAGUAAGAGCAGUUUCUUCUGGAGUCAAUGGGCAAAGACCUUCUUUCCUCUUCAACUCAGAGUCUAUUACUUUCUCUUUCCACCAUGGAUAAGCAUACCUAAACAAUGGAAAGCAUGAUAACGUCAAUAUCACAAAACAAAAGCCCCAAGUAAUAAUAUAAGAUGAUAGUUUCUUUACCUCAUUCUUGUUAGUUCUUCUUCCUCAUAGCGGUUGCAACCAUGUGAGCAGCCAGAAAAUGCCAACAUAUCCAUUUCAUAUCUGAGAUGCAGAACAAGAAAGGGACCUUUCUCCCUCAGAAUCUUGACUACUCUUCUACCCAAUUCCUCAAUCUUUGGAGUAAACCUAAGCCCAUUGAAAUUUGCUCGGCAUCGCAGCUUCUGAAUCUCAACAGGCAGUUCGUUAUUAACAAGUCGAGUAUCGGUCUUGUUCAGAUGUACAACUUUGUACUUCUUCACCAGCGGAAGAAUCUGUUUGCAAGGAUUAUGUAUAAAGAAGCUGUGAGACACCAUGAAAAUAAAUUGUAGGCUAAUCUCAUAAAAGACUAACAAGAAAAUAACCUGGUCUUGGUAGUAGGACAUGUUGGACCAGCUAAUAGGAGGCAUGGUGUGAUACAUCCCGAGCCUAACCCUUCUUUUAAGCCUGGGAGGAAGCUCUUUGAGUAUACGAACCUCAUCUCUCAAAGAACUUAUGAAGUGAUCCACGUCGAAUAUGUCUUUGAACUCACUGCCCACAUGAAAAUCCAGUCAGCAACUUUAAGAGAGAUUACCAGUUCAGUGAAAGAAGAAAUUAGAAAGAACCUUGGAUCAUUCCAAAACGAGGUCUUGUCAAGCUCUGGUACAAUAAGUGUGACAUUCAUAUACCUUGCAAUAGUGACCAUAUCACAUAUCUGAGGAGAGAAAACAGAGUCCAACAGUCAGAUCAAUAAAAGCACAGCUUUCAGAGAUUUCUUAAGAGGAUUAGUAAUGAUCAUACCGCUGCUCGCAUUUGGUUGAGUCCGCCAUUGCAAGAAACCAUAAGAUAGCCGUUGUUCUGAUAUAUUCCUGAGAUGAACAAAGAGCACAAACAAAAAAAAAGCAUAAAAAUUGGAAUCCUGAUAAAGCACAACAGACACAACUUGAGAUAACCAGAUAGUUGCAGCUAAGCUACAAUAACAGGAAAGAAACUUACUUUUAGGCGGAAGGGCGAUCUUCAUGGGAAGAGAAGUCAUUUGAGCAGCCAUUGGGAGAUCAUGGUGAUUGAAACAAGAAGGCCAGCCUUUCAACAAUCUAGGUCCCCACAUCUCUCCCAAAGCCACCAAAUGAACAAAACAACUCCAAAGCAACAAUAUAGUCAUAGCCCGAAUCAUCCAUAGGCUCAUACGAGACCUCGAAACCAAAGAGUUCUUAAACUUCUCUAUCUUACUAUCUCCAAGAAACUUAACCUUCAUCUCCCAGAGUUUCCUGUGGUAUAGAAACUUCUCUGCUUUACACAUUAUUCAAAAUCCACACAGGGGAGUGUCUCAUCAAACAGAUUCCAGACUUAAGUCUAGCUACAGAGCAGCUUGAGAUCCUUCCUCAGAUUUACACAGACAAUAGAAUACACUCGGAUAAGAAUCACGCUCUCUCUCUCUCAGCGGCACUAAUGAUUCUUAAUUUAAACACUCAGAAAAAUGUAAUCUUUCACGCAAAACCAGGGAAUUCGCAGAACAUUUAUUACUCCUCGAAAGAAUCCAGAUUCUUGCUCUCAAGUCAACCACAAAUUUCGCCUCUCAAUCAAUUAAAAAAUACAAAACACUAAUCUGAGAUUUCACAUCCGACAAAACUCUCUCAACCCAGAAAUAAAAGAAAAAAUAGAUAUUUGGAAGCUAACUCUCCAAAUUACAAUGCAAUGGCGAUUCUUGAAACUUAGUAAGAAGAAGUAAGCAAAACUGAAGAAACAAUAAUAAAAAAAGAAAGGAGGAAGCUUUAGAGAAUGCUUGCUAACUAUGUUAACGAGAGAUGCUUCUUCGUCCAGAUCCGGUACCAAAGAAUCAGGAAACUGGAUCGAAGCUCCUCAGAAAGAAGAAGAAGAUCAGGACAAGAAUGUGCAAAAAGAUAACUACUUUCUCACAAAUGUUUAAGAUUUGAUCAUUCACACACAAAAAAAAAUAAAACAACAACAAAUGAACUGUCUUUUUUUUUUUUUUUGCUUUUGUCGGUAGUCUAUUUUUUUUCUGACCGUUUUGUUAACCUUUUCUGUGUAAGACAGUUGGAACCAUUGUUGUUAUAUAGCUCCAUCGUUUUAUGUGUUUACUGAUAAGAAAUCAAACAAAUAAAUAUCUCUAAAGGAUACAAAAUCUACAAGUAUAUAAAUACGAACACGGAUUCUUUUAUUUAUUUCUGCUAACAAAUCUUUUAAUCAAAAUUUUAUAAAGAUUUUCAUGCACGAACCAAGUUUUAAAUUUAAAUAUGUGUAAUUUACUAAUAGGGAUAAUAUUCACUAAAACUAUAAGUUACGGAUGCAAUUAUAUUCUGAAUUAUAUUUAAUUAUUUAAUCAGUCUAUAGUAAGUUAAACUCUGCCACGACUUGAUUUCAACUUUAUCUGAUAUUUUUUUAUUAUUUGAUAAUUUGUUUGUGAGUGCGAGAGAUUUUAAGCUAAACUACUUUUUUUUUUUUAAUUCAAACAAUAAGUAUAAUAAAAUACCAAUCUUUCUAUUUUUUUUUUCACACAAGUUACAUAUGGUUGAAAACAGUCAACCUUUAGAUUUUGUUUGGCCAAAUCGUUUUAAUUGUUAUCUUUUACUCGCUAUGUGUAUUUAUAUUAGGAAGUUAAGUAACAUAUAUAAAUACAGUUAUAUAGCUAAAACCACGUCCAAAAGUCCUGUCUCAAACCAUUUUCUUCAUUAAUUAAGACCGAUGAAGUAGUUUAGUGCCAAACUUAAAUUAAAAGGAAAAAAGAAACAGAAAACGAACGAAUAUUUAUAAAUCUAAAUAUUCUUUAGAGUUUUUCCAUUGAAUGAGUGAUGACCACAAAAUUAGUAAACAUAUAUUACAUUUUUGGUAAUGUAAUGACGACUGCAAAUUAGCAAACGCAUAUAAAACUAUAUAUCACCAAUAUAACGAAUACAAAAUCGGCAUAUUCUAGUCUUGUGGAUCUCUAUCGUUGACAGCCGUCGACUACAUUUAGAUUUUUUUCUUUCAGAAGACUCCAUAUAGUUUUCUUACUAUAUUCUAAAAUAGAAUUAUGAAAAGUCAUACUAUGUUUUCUAUAUAGGCAAUGAGUAAAAGAGCAAACACAACUAUAGUAUUUGGUACCUCCUUAGUUUCAUUUGAAGCAUAUAAAUCUCACAGAACACUAAACAUAACUAUUCAUAAUGUAGCAUGAUCAGUUUUCAUUUUGCUCUUUUUUUAAUAAAAAAUUAGACUUAUUUAUCAAGAAGACAUAAAUAAAUAUACAACUUAUGCCCUGGAUUGCCAUCAAGGUAUAUCAAACCCUAACAUAUAUAAUAGUCUUACUUCACGUGAGAAAUAAUUAAUACUUUGUAUAAUACAUGUUUUCGCAUAUUUGUUUCCAAGUGCGGACAGAAACACACAGAAAACAGAAAUUAAUUGAAGAAACAUAGUUUAUAUGAGAAAUAAGAAAAUUUCACCAAAAGAGGGUUAGAGGACAAAGGCCCGUGACUUGGCGAGUUGCUUGCUUCUUUUGUAUUUUACCAUCUUCUGAUCAAAGUCACGUACGAUUUAUAUAUAUAUAUAUAUAUAUAUAGAAACUUCACAAUUCACAUGUGUGUGUGCCUAUACAUCACUAUUCACAAAAUACGUUGUAUGACAUAUCUCUGUAUAUACGUAGAUUGCUAGCUAGUGUAUAACCAUUAGUAAAAUUAUUUUCGAAAUCAGCAGAAAAUAAAAUAGAAUACAAGCAUUAACUUCUAAAAAUGCAUACGUACAUAUAAAUUAAAUUUAAAAUUUAUGUUGUCGACUGAAAAAUGAUUCUCUGUUUUGUUUUAUUUUAUUUUUGGUGAAUGAUAGCGAAUUUAUGAUUGAUUAGUUUUGUGGUUAGAGGUCUAGAGAAGGUCUCUUAAUUUGCAAGACCCUCGACAACGAAAUUGAUCUUAUAUAUAGUAUUGCGAUGCGUGAAAUGCUUUUUAUUUUAAAGCUAUAUAUAUAUCUAUAUAUAUAUAUAUAUAUAUAUAUAUAUAUGCUUAAAAAGGUUUAAUAUAAUACACGAUUUCCAUAUUUUCUAAUCCACGACAUCAAAAUUUAUUAAAGAAAAAAAAAACACAUAAAAAGUAAUCCAAACGUGACGAUAAAUACAAUAAAAUUUGAAUUUUUUUAACUAGUUAAUGUAUCUAAAGGACAUAGGUGGUUUGCAAAAUGUAAGAAAUACACAAUAUAAAUGUUAUAAACUUCAUGCACAUGGCAAAUCAUACGUUUGAAAACGUAAUAUAAACAAGAUUCACAUAAUCAAUUGUAAAAGGUAUAACAUGGGUACGUAAACACAAAAAAAAAAAAAAGAAGUACAUAUGCAUUUUAAUUAAUAAAAGAAACAGUUGGGGUGUUUUUGUGUGAACGUAACUAAAGCUGUGUGGGUGCAUUAAGGUUUUGAACGUAACGCGAGAGGCAAUCCAAUUAAAUGAACAUGUACGUACCACACACCCAACUUGGAUUGCAAAUCAAGAUUUUAAUUCAAUGAUAGUUUAGUUUGUUUUUGAAGACACGUAUCCAUUAUACAUUUCUCCACUAUCAUUAUAUACUAAAAAAUUAGGGCAUAUGAAUAUGCAUGUACAAAACAUAGUCGUGAAAUUUGAAAUAUAAACCUAUUUUAUCAAAGAAAUAGAAUACCUUGGUUUUUUUUUAAUAAUGUUUGAGUAUUAUUUAUACACAUAGUUGUGUUGAUUGCAAGAAUUAUGAUUAGUUGAUAACCAUAUGAAGGAUUAAGAAAGUGAAUGGUUAUGCCGUUUUUAUUUGUAAGAAAAUAAUCCAAUACUCCAAUUUUAUCGACACGGGAUUAAAUAGUGAAAAAGUGAAAACAAGAUUAUAAAAAAAGAAAAGAAAUAGUUGGUAGAAAAAGGACAUUUAACAAUUAAUAGCCCAACGAGAGCAUAAAGAAAGUUGUGUCGGUGGCUAAAAAUGCUUUAAGCAUGACGUGCCAUUCUCAAGUUUCAGGCAAUUAUUGCUGUCCAUAUAUAUUUUUUAUCUACAUUGCGUGAACAAAUAUAAAGAAAAAAAAAAUUCUACCAAAAAAAAAUAAAAAUAAAGAAAAAAAUCUCAUAAAAAUAAGCAUUUUAUAAUUUAUUAUUGGUUUAUAAAACAAAAAGUGAAAUUAUAUUGAGAAUUUUGUGCUUUAAAAUGGAAAACUUUGAUUGAAUCGAACAAAAAUGGUAUUUGAGUAAUAAUACAAUGAAAAAAAAGAAAAGGGUUUGUAAUAUAUAUAUGGUAAUCAAACAAUUUUUUGUUGGUCGGGUUACAAAGUUUCAGGUUUCGAGAGAUUGGCUCUCAGUAUAAUAGAAAAUUAUUGAUGAUAUCGUCGGAUUAGCGAUGAACAUCUUUGGUAAAUCUCUUCUACAAGUGUUUUAGAAGAAGAGGUAUUUUUGCUUCUUGAGACUAAUGUAUUGUGAAAAGAUUGAGUCUAAUUGUCCUAUCUGUAGUUAAAGGUUCGUCUUCUUUUUAGGUUUAAUUUUUUUUGUUUUGUAUGUGUUUUUUUUUUAUGUUUUUGGGAAUUUCUAUUUGUUCGGCGAUUUUUUUUAUUUUUAUUUGAACUUCAGAUUCUAAAAAAAUAUUUAUUUUCCGCUGGUUUAAGUUGUAUUUAACCAUAUAUCCCCUUUACUUUUAUCAAUAAUAUUAGUUGACAAAAAAAAAAUGGUAAUCAAAAAAAAAAAACAAAAAAAAUCAUCUUCAUUCAUUCAUUUAUUCAACAUCAAAAUUAUAUGAUGAUUAUUAAUAUUAUAUAGUAUAUACAGUACAUAACUUUUGUAAGUAGCGUUGACGAAAAAUAAAAGUCUUUGGCUACAGUUGUUUCGUCUGAGAUCGACGCGGUUCAAGUGCGCGUCGGAUAAUACAGCACUCACUCGAAUAGAUAUGAACAAUCUACUUUUAACGGGCAGACACAAAAAAUAAUUGAAUGGACUUAUUAGCAAAAUCCUAUUUUGGCAUAAAUAUUCGGAUUGAUCUUUAGGAAUAACAAGAAUCUUUGUCACAUUAAUUAAAAAAUCUUGAAACACCAAAACUUAUAUAUAUAUGUUGAUUAGUAUAUAUAUAACCUCAACCUCACACUAAACACCAUACAUUUUAAAUUUUAAUCUGAAUCCAUACAUUUUGCAUAAAACGCUAUACAUACAUCGAAGCCUUUCAAAAUUGGAAAGUUUUCGAACCGAACUCGAUCGAUUGAGUUGUUAUUACCUUAUUAGAUGGCUGCGAUGCUAGACAAAGAGCAAUCUGCGUUUGCUUUGCAUUGAUAACACAACAAAAACAAGUGUCUCCAUGUUUACAACAACUACAUUUUUCUAAAGUACAAUCAAUCACAAUAUCAAUAACAAGAGAGACGCAACCAGAUAUAAAACACGUAGAGCUCUUUGUCGUUCCCGAGACCAAACUUUAUCAGCCUUUUCCAUUCCCAACAUCAAUCGCUGAUCUCACAAAUUGAUCGCAUUGAGUAACUCCUCCGGACAAAACAUCAGCCAAAACACCGACAAUAUCAAAAGCUUCUUGCAGAUCGGUUGCAGAGUUGAUUUCGUCGAGCCACGAGAUCAAUUCCUUGGAGAAACCUACCAAUUCUUUCACAUUCAGCAGUUUCUCUUUCAUUACAAUCUCCCAUGGCUCAAGCUCUGCUCCACUUGAUGUACCUUCUUUCUUGUUUGGUUCUAGGUGGACCGGUUUCUUUGCUUUGAACAACUGUUGAAGCUGUUCUAUCAUACCGGUGUAGACCAGCAUUGGUUUGACAAUAGAGAGAAGUUCAUCUCCGGUUAAGGUUUCUGCGUCUUGAGUUUUGCCUCCUGAACUGGUUGAUUCCGCAGCACGAGAAGCUACCCGACCGUGAGCGUGUUGCAUAAAAGUAUGGUAAAUCCCGCGCUGGAGAAAGACACGACGGUGUUGGAGCCAUGAUUCAUAUGAUUCUGAUAGCAGCGAGUUUACCAUCAUGAACUGAACGGUUUCCUCGGUUCCACUCGAGGAUAGCUGAGAUCCAGGAGUUAAAGGUCGUGAGUCCAAUUGCGGCGUUGUUGCUGUAGAUGAUGAAAUAUAGGAUGAGACAGAUUUAGCCAUGUUGGCGCGUUGCAUGGGGCCUCCUUGAUCGAGAAGAUGACGGGCCAUUUGGAACAUAAACGGCAAGAAACGGGAAUUGCUAUCUCUUCCUCCUCCUCGACAGUCUGCGCUAAAAGAAGCUCCUGUUGCAAACCGAGCCAGCAUCUACAGAGGAAACACAAAUUGUUAGCAAAUACAAAACAAAAAUAACCAAACGGAUUUGAUUAGCUGUUCGGAAUACAGUUUAGAACCAAACUAAAUUUUGACACUUUCGAACCAAACGCCUUCACCAAUUUUUAACUUACCAGGACAAUGUCGUAUGUCAAUAAACGGAGUCUGCUCCCGUCAGCUCUACCAAGAGCAUUGAGAUUAUCCCAGUACUGGUCAACAUAACGGAGAUACUGAGCUAAGGGAACUGAUGGACCCUUGACAGGGAAGAGAGAGUUGCAAAGAGAUUCAUUGUUACGUAACAUAGCUCCUUCCCAUUCUUUCUUCGGGUUUUUAAGAGCAGCAUCUGCUCUUUUCGCCUCUUGAUGACAUUGGAAAUGAAUAAUAUUGAAGUAGCUCACUGUAGUGUAUACGCAUUCACCACGUGCACUUCCAGAAUUGCCAGCACCGAGAUUCACCCGUUUGCUGUAAGAGUAAACUCCUAAUAAAUCAGUAGGUCGGAGCUUGUAGCCUUCUCUGCACACCAUGCAAGCUAAUCCAUCCUCUUCUUCUUCCACAUCAUCAAAACCUUCCAGGAUUGGUUGAGAAACCACAAUCCUUUCACCACCAUCAGAAGAUAGCUCUUGACGCAUUCCAAGUCCCUGUUACAAAAGAGAGAGUUGGUAAAAAUUGUCACAAGACCAGAUUACACAAUUAGUUUCCUUGCGUGAGGAUCAUCAUUAAAAUUACCUGUAGGAGCUCCUCUCUCUUUCUUAGUGCACGGCGUCUCAUUUCAUCUUUGGUGGCAUCUCGUAAUGCACGGACUUUCUCUCCAAGAAACCCAUCUCCUUUUCCUUCUUUAUCGGCGAGUGUGUCUAGCAAAUUUUCAGCCCUUGCACCAAUCUCGUUUUCCCCAGAGACUCCUUCUAAGGCAUGAAGUAAGGAUAGAAUUCCUCCCUCGUCUAUGCAUGUUUGUGUAGGCAAAUGUCCCAUCGAUAAUCCUCUUAGCAUUGACAAAAUAAGAGGUACUGAGGGAAGUUUAAGAGCCGAAAGCCAUUCCUUGCUAGAUUUGAACCCAGCCUGUCCUGUGACAGCGAAAAUUUCCUUGAUGUGUUUGACAGCAACAGCUAUGAUACCGUUCUCCAAAACUAUGUCUUUUAACCUCUCUCCGCAUGAACUUGUCUUGAGAGAUUCUGAAACUCUUACAAAAUUCUCCACAGUAAAUCUCUGUUUUGCUGCUUGUUGAGCAAUGCUGUCGUCCUUGGGGUUCUCCUCAUGACGUUGCUGAAGCAGAUCAAAUUCAGACCAGUUUUGCAGGUAAGGGCUAAAAUGCUCUAUGAGUGCUUCCAUCGCUGCAGGCUCACCAUAUGUUAAGUAAGGCAAGAUUCUAGCAACCAUCUCUGUGUUUCUUUGCUGUUUGUUCGAUUUCUUAAGCCCUGAAGGAUGGCUCAGCCUUUCUAAGAACAUAAGCACUAUUUUCUUGGCCUGUUCCCAAGUUCCAGUUUCCUCGGUACUGACAGUCAAAGCACUUUGUGUGGCGCUGAUGCUGUCACUUUCAUUUGCUUCAAGCGUCAAACUCUCGACAAUUAAGAGAAUGCCUUCAGCUGGCUCCAUAGCAUCCACAGAAAAAGCCCUCCUAGCUGUUUCAAGAAGUAAGCUUAAUGCCCCUAGUCUGAGUAGAGCGCGCCUGUUCUCUCUAAUCUUGCAGCAAUGGUUUAGGAGAUCAAGAACUGCAACCAUCUCUUCUUGGUUGGAUUUGAAGUCAUCUCGUAAACUCUGCAACGUGAUCAAUAAAUAUUAGAUUUAUCUUAAAAAGCCACUUUAGUAAUAUAACAAUUCCUCUUCACGCUGUAUCUAAAAGUGCACUAAGAAACUAAGGUCAAACAAGUGUAAGCAUACAGAAAAAGUGGGAGAAUCCCAAUUUCAUUUUAUGGUUUAAGAAGCUUACCUUGAUCAUUUCCAGUAAAAUUUCUAGACCACCAUAUUCACGAACUGCACCUGCUAUUGCAAAUUCAAUCUCUGGAUCUUGGGAUUCUUCUCUAUCUUCUUCCAAUUCCUUAAUCAUAGGCUCAGUAGCUUCACCAUCUAGCCCCUGCCAAUAUUUUUUAGAGCUUAUAAUAAAAAAAGAAACAUGAAAUAACUAGUUCUUUAUUUUUUUUCAUUUUGGGGGUGGGAAAGUAAGUUAGGGUGAGCAAACCCAUCUUUGGCCUAGCUCUUCACCAGAAAAGGGUCACAAACCUGAAGUCUGUAUGUCACCGUCAUGGGAGGACAAUCCCUGCUGGGAGCUGCAUUUGAAGCUAACAGUGCAGAGUUGGUCAGUGAAGUAGAAGACUGAUUUGAUUUUUUCCAAACCAGCUCAUAAACUUGAGCUAUACUCAGGUCUAGUGAAAUGAUGUUUCCUGCUACAAGCAACUCCAUGCCAUAGUCAUCUUCCAGUAGACCUAACAGGUCCAACUGCUGACAAAUCUUGUUUUUAACAUCCCGCAUCAGUGGGCCGAUCUCAGAACUCGAAUAUGGAUUUUUCGUCAUUGAUCCCCGGAUAAACUCCUCUUGAGUGUGUGACUUAUUCAAGAUCAGCAUAUAUACAGCCUCGGGUUUUGAUGGGCAGAUCAAAUUACAAAGCUGCUCAAGAAUAAACUGCAAAUACAAUUGAAAUGGUCAAAACACUAGUCAAUGAUAUAUGUUAAUUAUAACAAAAUAAAUUUUUAAUAACUUGAAGUGAUCUUUAAUUAGAAUUAUAGAAAAUCUCCAGAGACUGUUAAGUGAUGAAUAUCUCCAAAAAGAAUAUUUUGAAGAUGUUACAGUGGUCAGAAUGAUAAUUCUUCUUACCAAACAGGUACGUCCUUUUUUUUCUUGUGCAUGGGUUUGCAGUCCAGAAACACAGGCACGGAUGAAUUGUCGUUUAUUUUCACUGCUUUCAAGCAGAAGUCCGUCAAGAAGAUCUUUUAGGAGUCUGUUGCAAUCAUUUAUAAGCUUUGUCUUUUGCACUAUUAAGCCACGGAUUACAAUGAGGGCCUCCAGAACAUGAGACAGCAAAUUGUCUCUCAUGAAUCUGCCACACUCAAAACCUUAGACAGGUAUGAAGAAGUCAAUGUAAGAUACAAUAGAUUUAACAAUGAUAAAUAUACCUGGAACGAAUAUUUGGAACCUCUAAGAACUUUCCAAGAAGUUCUAGGAGCUUGUGGAGGGUAAAUCCCUGUGAAAUGUCUAUCUGAAGACUCCUUUCUAGAGAUUCAAUGUUUCCCACCUCCUGGGAGAUCAAUUUGCAGAUUGUUGUCAGACAACCCCGAACAGUUAAGAACAAAAGUGCAUCUUGUGCCUCUAUCAUUUUGAAGAGCAGUUCAAAGUAUUCUGCGCUACUUUCACCCGCUGCAAGCGUAGCGGGAAGCAAGCCUAUCAGCAAAUUGAUCAGCCUGUAGCGCCUAGGUGAGCUUUGGGCAGAGAGUAAACUAAUCAGCGUGCACAUCUCUGACCUGAUAGAUUGAGAACAUGCACUAAGAAUAAGCUCCGUGACCCAAGAUCCGAGCUCAAAUGCCUGUAAACCACCUUUGGAUGUCCUGCUAGAGCGUCGCUUCCACCUAAGUGUAUAUUUAAGUGCCAGGAAAUCUGAUCUGUGUGUUCUCGACUUUUGGUUACCACUUCUAAUUGACUGAGAGGCUUUGUAUUGCCUCCUCACAAAGUCGAGAUAUGACGCCCCUUUCUCCCAUUCCAAAUAACUCACAAGCUGAAUAUCUCGUGUCUUCUGAGACACAUCCAAGUUAUUUUCUUCACUUUCUGACGAAUACUUUAUGAUGCCAGCAACAUUCUCAUCCUUUCCUUGCACCGCAGGAGCAGAUUUUCCCAUUGUUAGCUCUUUCUCUGCCGUAUCUGGUUUUGGAGGUGUACAUGCCACAGAAAUUAUCUUAAGGCACGGAAGAAUUAUGUGCUCUGAUAUCGCAGGAUGUUUAGCACCUAAUUUAAUGGAAGAAAAUAGUAGCUGAAAAACAAGGCGCAGUCUUGACUCCCAGAAUUCAUCAGUGAGAGAGCAUACUUCUGAAAGCAACAACAUCUCCUCACGAGUGGCAAGCGCAAUGUCCAUGGAGCGAUGAUGUUCAAGGCAGUACAUUAUUUUCUUCUGUACCAGAUUGUUUAAAUCAUUCACGGCAUUCAGAUCACCCUCCGAGAAAGUAGAAAGAGCUGCUCUGGCUUGAGCACGAGCUGUUUUCGGACCCUCGUGAAUAUUGUUUUCAAACAACUCAGACAAAAUACCAGCUGCAACAAGUUGUUUCCUAGAUCUAGGAUGCUUCGACAGCACUUGAAGAAUCUCAAGACAUUGAGUGACAAAUGUAGAGGCACAACCAUAACAAUUGUUUGGGGUCUUUGAGACCACACAUCUUGAGGCACCUGAUGAAAAAUUUGAAUUUUUCUGAUGGAGGUAGCUCAUCAAAACUCUACGAAGCCCCUGCAGUGUUUGUACACUUUUGCUGACAGAAUCAAAAGCAGCUUUGCACUUCUCACCAUAUAAUACACCCAAAAGUGCGAUUUUCCGGUUUAUCUUGCAUGAGGGACCAGGUAAAGAUGCCAUCAUUUGUUGGACAGUGUCCUUGUGCUGUGAAUCCAUUUCCGUUUCACCAAUGCUUGAUACUAUCUUCAGAAGCGGCUUCUUGAAGCCCAGGAGCUGCUGAUAUCUCCUGUGAGCGUUUUCCGACUCAGACUCUAUGGCAGCCAAUCCCUUCUUCAUAUCUUCGUCAUUUUCCAUAUUAUCAAAUAUGAAGCUUGGUUUUGCCAUGAAGUUAAACUCAAACCUCCCAUACUUGCUAUAACCACACUCGUUGCAAAGGAAAGAAUCCAAAUUUUCAUAGUUUAUGUUACGGCAUUGCCUGCACUGAUAAGCAUUCUCAUGGCAAUUGCUGCAAAUACCAUGUUUAUCAGUAACAGGUCGACUGCAUCGGGGGCAUUGCAAUGGUUCAAGAGAUAACGCCUGAAGAUUCUCAUAGAAGGAAUCCAACUCGAUCAUGAAGUUACAGGCAGUAAUAGGAAUAGGAAAUUCCACCUUCAGUUCAGUUUGGUUAAAAGACAGAUGGCAACUUUUGGCACGCUUCCACAGUGACCAGUUGUUUUUAAGCUCUGAUAAAUCCGAGACAGGGCGAUUGUUGUAAUACAAGUUUAGGACCUUCACCGACUUUGACUUUCGUGCAUCAUGAACAUUCAUGGUCACAGAUUGUAUCGUAUAACUACCAGUACAUUUCACAAUGAUGCGGUUAUCAGUAAACUUUGUCUCAGAUUUCAAACUUUCAAGCUUCAUUUUGCUAUAUGGCACAUCAGGAGAACUGCAGGCAACACAGGGUUCACUCUCGAGAUAAUAACCAUCAAAUUCCACAAGAUUACCCAGAGUGCUGUAUAUACGGGAGUUUGGAUGAUUGGCAAUGAGCUCAUUUUGAGAAUGCAGCGUCUCAAAAAAGCACCUUAUAACAUCAGUAUUCAGGCAACGAUCUACAAGCUCGUUAGUCGCUUGCUUUGAGUUGUUUUCUGGAGCCUUGCCGAGUAACAAAGAGACAAGUUCAGUGUACUCGACAAUAUUCUGACCAUAUGCUGGCAGGUAUCUAACCUUCUGCAAAAGAGCUGCUAACAUACUUUCUUUGAACGAGUAUCUUCCAUGAUACCACAAGCCAUAUAUAACAGACUUUGCUUCAGUACGAACAGAGCUGGAAUUCCAUUCCAGAAGAAAGAAAUCAAUAAACUGUGUCAAGAGAUCUCCGCCCUUGGCACUGAAGAUAUCUACCACCCCUUCCAUAUCCACGUAUGAUUUGUCCACACCAGAAUCAUUCCCAUCUUCACCUUUUUUCUUCUUUUUUGAAUCCACAGACUGAGAUCCUGAUCUGUUUGAGCCUGUCCCUACAUCUGCUGCUUCAGCUUUCUGCGCUGAGCUGCUCACAUCUUUUCCUUGAUAAAAGGCCAAAUUAAGGAGUUUAAGUGUCUGGAUAACCGACUCUUCUGCAAAAUGGAAUACGCCAUUCAGUAAGAAGGACAGAAAAUCUCCAUGCCUGAGACAGUACUUCUGCCAGUUUCGAGGCCGCGCCAAAGCAACUUCAGCAAUUGUAGAAAGUGACUUCACAAUCUUUACACUCCUUUCAUAUGAAACAUUGUUUUCAAAACCACCAGACUUUUCAACAUGCUUGUAUAGAUUUUUCACUUCAUUGGAAAACUGCCACGAAUCUCGGACACUGUAGUAUUGAGUUUUGCUUCCACAAAGAUGCAAAAAUAGCCUUCUAGCAUAUCUCCUAACAAAAGCUGUAUGAGGGUUAUUAAUAUAGCUGCACAGAACAUCCUGGAAACCGUCCAGCUUCAAAUCUCUAGAAGAAGUAUUCCUGUAAACCUUUUCCUUUUCUCCCAUUUUCUCUUGUUUUUCAGGUCUAACCAAGGUAUAAACUAAGCGAAACACAUUCUCAAGUAGCAGUCUGUGAUAGUCCACAAAUAUAUCUGCUCUAUGGGCUUUUGCAUAUGAAUCCGAAAAGAAGGGAGAAUAGUUACCAGCAGGUAAAUCCCUUCUGACUGUGAGCAUGGCUCCACAACCAGAACCAGAGCUUGAUCCACGUGCUUCAACAUUUGCAGCACGGGACUUAAAAACAUGCACUAGUUGCUGAAGUAUGUUCAUUAGAUAAUUAACAAACUCUUGAUUCCUGAGCAAACUGCAUGCGCGAACUAGCUGAGACGCAAAGUCAUCUCUCUCUUGAACAUCUAAAGAAGACUGAGAAGCAACUACAGUGGAGCUCUGGAUACCCCUUCGGUCAUGUAGAUCAGUAUUUCCACCUAAUCGGGAGCUACUACCAUCACUACCAGGCUGCUGCCAACUCCGAAGCAUCAAGGUGAAAAACAUAAACACAAGAAUAACAAUUUCUCCGAAGUAAGAGCGAGUUGAAGCAGCAAACGGCUUGGUGAAAUUAAUUUGAUCCAAUAGCCAUUUAAUUAACUUUUCCAAGCUUAUUUCUUCAGGCUUUGAGCUGUCCAUAAAGGCUCCACCAAUGGCAGAUGAUAAUCUGUAGAACAAUUGCAUGACAGGAAUAGCUUGAACACCAGAUACUUUCUCCAUCCAUCCACCCAACUCUUGGAGAAACUCAGAGAGAAUUAAAGAAUUUACUGCACGCUUUGAGGCUGAGAUGGAAACAGGAUCGGUCACUGAAGCAGAAAAAUCAGUAGAUUCACCAGGUUCCAAGACAUGGAUUGAUGGAGUUGAAGCUUGUGGGACGCUACUGGUUACUAUUGUCGGUGACAUAUUUGAAAUACCUACUUCAUCCGCAGAGAACUGAAUCUCAUUGGUGUCUGCACCAAGCGACUCCACUUCUAUUGGCAGUGCUGUCAUGGGAUGAUCUCGAGUGUGUGGUGGUGGUAGACGAUCUGCAUCUAACACUUCAUAGCAUGCCUCACAUAAAUCAAAAUCUGGACAAACGGUGCAGUGCCACCUUCUUCGCAGGAUAGGGACGGUGGAGCAGCCAUCACAGCAGUAUUGAACAGAUGAAGUUAUAGAGUCCUCCUCAAUCAUGACAUGCGUAUUUCCACCAGCUGUUCUGACAGGCACCGAAGGAGUUGUUAUAUUGUCUACCAAAUCAUCUGUUGUCAAGAUUGUUUGCUUUGGGAAAGGAACCUGAAGUAGUCUUGAUGAUAUGGCUAAGCUGUAAUGAAAUUAAGUUAGAAGACUGGUCCAUACCUAAAAGAACAGAGUAUAGAAACCAUACACAAGAACACACCUGCUGGAUGUUUGCACAGACUCAUUGGGAAACAAUAUAAGUGCUUUCAGUAGCUGAACUGCAGGGGCUACAGAAUGAACCCCGGUAUCCUUUCCUUGAGAUGCCAAACACUCUGCAUAGCUAUAGAUUAGCUCAACAGAGGACAUAACGAUGUUGUUCAUAGUAGGUGUGUCGAGUGGCUCCGACUCCAAAAUUCCCCAUAGCACUUGCAUCAGAUUGUCUACCACUUCAGAGCCUACAGAACAAACAUAUCUCACAUAAACAAAGCUAUAUGAAAGACGAUAAUUGUACGGAAAACAGCUGCUCCUGUUAUGUAUUACAAGGAUAAUAGAAAAAAAAUUGUGUUUGACUACACAUUGAAAAAGAAGACUGUAGAUAAUAAAAGAAAGCACAUAUACCAUUCAUCUCCAGAAAGACGGAGAAAUUUGAUUUACGGGUCAAAGCUAUUUUAGACACCGCCCGCAUCUGAGCAUUGAACUCUUCAACAAUUGAGCCUCCAGUACCAGAAAUGCCCAACCUCGAAGAAAUGAUAGAGGUCACCUUGACCACUCCAAGAAGUCGCAUGGUGUCUUUGACCUAUAAUAGCAGAUAUAUCAAUGCCAAAGAUAACAUAAAAAUUUCAUGUAUAUCAGUUCAGAAAGAGCAACUGAACAUGCUAGACUGGAUGUGGUAGGAGCAUUACCUGGUAGUAUAUCUCCUUUCUUGGGAAGACAGACUGCAAGACACGGCAAGCUGCAUUUUGCAACAGGGUUUCCCUAUCACUUUCGAAAAUGGUCUCCAGUAGCUGUUUGCAUUUGAGUUCGCUAAGCUCUACUUCUUGCUUUGGCUUACAAGCUGAAUAAAAGAUUGAUAGGAGUUUAAGACCAUCGGCGAUAACUUGCUCCUCAAUAGAAGCAGACUGUGCCAACGCUCUCUUUUUACUAGAGCCUGGAAGAAUCAAACCAUGACCAAGCACACGAGCUUCCAUAUCUAGCACAGCAUCCAUUUUCUCUUUCCAGCCAAACUCAUCUUUAGCUCGACCGUAUACUUCAAGCGAGUCUAUUCUGGGAAGUGCAGUCCCACUAGUAGUUGGCCCGACAGAGAUUACAACAUCUUCAUCAGCUAGAAGUGACUCAGCCACUGUGAAUGGGAUGUCAUACCAGCACCUCAUGCCUUCAUCCAUCUUAAUCGUUCUCUGAAAAAUGGUCACUUCUGAAGGUAUAGAGCUUGAUGAUGUAGUACCAACAUGCAUCCGGAUGCCAACCAUAACAAUGUCCGGGUUUGGAUUGGAGACAGAUAUCUGAAAGAGAGAAGGUUAGAUUACUGGACACAAACACCUUGUAUAACAUAAUCACACCGGGAAAAUACUCUUAAGAGUAAUAAUCAAGUACACAGAUAAACUUAUCAAGAAAAAAUAUUGGAGAAAUCCAACCAUACCUUGAAACCCAAGGGACUGGGGCUCUCAAUAAAGCCAUCCUCAGAUGCCAAGCUCUGUUUUGCUCCCUCGGAAUCACCAUUUCUAAUAGCAUCACUACUAAAUCUCACAUCUGCUGUAAUGCAAAAUGCCUUCUCGAAGAAAUCCAGGGGAAACUCCGGCUUUGCACCAGCAUAGGCUUUGUUGUUAAGUAUCUUAGAACCCAAUUUUUUAACUUUUUCAGCAGUGAAAUUUGAGUCAGUAUCAACUCCACUCCGAACAUGAGAAUAAAUUUGAAGGCUGCCAUCAUCAUGCAGAACAAGACAGUGAAUAUUGUCUUUUGACAGAGGUUUGUAUGCGGUAAUUCCGACCAUAGGGGAAGAUGAUCCAGUCGGAUGACGGAGAUUCUGUGCACAUACCCCAUCACCCCUCAAGGACACAGCUAAGGCAGCAUUUGACUUCAAGCUGGAGAAGCAAAUAAACAAUCCACUGCCAGCCAACAACUCUUUCCAACGAUGCAAUCCAGCCACCCUCUGUUUACAAUCUGGUUCUUCCUCAAACAUGCCAGAUGUCUCAGUUAAGGAUGUUGCGUCUGAGCUGAGUCGACCCAUAAAAGAACUCCCGUUAUGAUAGGAUAUAAAAAGCAGUCGAUAUGUUGGAGAGAAAUAGACGGAUGAACCCUUUCCGGUAACAUCCUUCCCCAUAAUCUGAACGAUUUCCUUAAGUGGCGUUGCACCUGCAUUACCGCCCCAAGAUAGUUCAAACCUGUACAAAUUCCCUUGUUCUGAAAGAACAAGAAGGAAAACCCUCCCACGAGAAGCAACAAAAAGAGUAGCAUCCACAAUCAUGUCAUUUGGCAAGGUGAAGUACUGUGUUGGACUGAUGCUGUCCUGGGAUAGAUCAUAAAUCUUCACGAAUUUGUUUGUAACGACCAUUAACUGAACCUGUGAACCAGGAACCCAGUCUAUACGCCUGAUGUAUGCACCCUGCAGGGCAAGCUCGACAGCAAGCCUAUCAAUGACUUCACCUCGAUGAUUCAACGUAAGUAUCUGGCAAUCUCCAAGGCCUGCGACAGCAAGAUAAUUCUCCACCACUGGGUUGAAUGCUAAAUGCACUAUCUCAAAACGAACAAUAUUCCUGGAAAGUGGUUUAACAUUGGCCUUGUCUGCAUUAAUAGGUGCAAUUGUGGCUUGUCCUAUUAGCUGUCCAACAUCAAAUAUAGCAACUUUAUCACCUUCUCCAACCGCAAGGCGACCCCGAACACUAACACUCAGAAGAGACUUGACAAGGGAACCAUUGGCUAAAAAAGAUUUAAGGUCCUUUGAAUUCGCAUAAUCAGCCUUUAUUUUUAAGUCCAGGGACCCACUUUUAUAUGCUUUUUUCAGCUGCAAAAGAUCUGUCUCAAACGAAAGAACUUUGUCUUUCCCAAGAUUGACCUGCUUAUCUUUCGAAAGGCCAGAGUCUCUUUUACUAGUAAUAGAUGGAAGCAAAGAAGAGAAAAGCUCCAGCACUCGGUCCUCUAUGCCGAGUUCUUCUAGUAGCAGUGACAUCUUAUAUUGAGUUUCUUUAGGGAUAGAUAACACAACGUGAUUUUCCUCCCCAGAACCAUCUUCUUCCACAUCUGAAUCGCUUUCUGCAAGCUGCUCUGCAUCCUCCGACAAGGGUAAAAAGGAUUGAAAAUUAUUUGUACUACGAGCUGGAGCGCUUCCAAUGUCGUUAAAUUUGCGUGGCUUCAAGCACUGACAGCUGCUUCCCCUAACACCUCCUGCUCCACAGUCACAGAAAAACCGACUCGAUCUUGAAUAGACAACACGGUGACCUCGGUGGCAAACUUUUGCGCAAACAGAACAGCAACCUUUGGACACAGUAAGGUCACAGGUGUAACAAAAAUACCAAUGCUGUUCCAUGAAAUUACUGCCACUGGAAGUAAAAGUGCAGACUUUUGAGGCAAGGUACCUCUCACUGUUGGCAUCUUCUUCAUCUUCCUUGUCUAGGCUGGCCAUUUCACCAUCAGAUGUUCCAUCAUCUUCAUCUUCAUCGACAGAAGUGACAUCGCACUCAAGUGAUAUUGCACUUCCUUCCUGAUCUACGGGGAGAGCCAAUGUGUCAGAUUUUUUCAUUGUUCCUGAGAAUUUUGGGACCAAGGGACCUGUUGCAGUAUUUUUAUUGCUUGCCAAGGCCUGUCCAUAUGUACUCUCUCCAUGACUUGGAGAACGGUUGCUCAACAAGGUGCCUAUCACACCAAAAAGAAAUUUCAAACCAGGCAGCAACUUCUCAUCAGCAGCAAGCUUCUCCAUCAGCAUUAUGGUUCUCUUUAGAACCAUCUUCAUCAGGUUGUCUUCCCUUGCAAGUUGAAGAACAAAAUGAAAAUAUGACAUAGCCAUAUGGGUAUCAAACGAGAGAAAUGCGGUAUCAAGGGAGAUCAACAUGGCCUCAAAUAAAUGAUUUUGUAACUCUCUGGUCUGUAGGUCGUUAGUAGAUGACACAAGACAAUUAAUAAAAUUCAUUGCUGCCUCUCUGAAAGGAAGAGAAUUCCCUUUUGCAGUCUUUUUCCCAUCUAUUUCCUCAAUGAAGGAACCCAACAGUCUUCUCUCCAACCACACAGAUAAAGUUUUCAAAUCCAUGUCAAGAAACUUUUGUUGUACUCUUCUCCUGAGAUCGGGGGAUGGAGCCACAGACAAGAGGUCAACAAGGAAGUUGAGUACUUUUAUGUUAACUGGUUCCAAGGAACAGUAGUCCAAUGAGUCAAUAAAAACAGAGAGAUCUCCACGUCGCAACUGAUAGAAUUCCCUGGUAGGCUCAGAGACUGCAUCUACACCGAGAUAAAAUUUGAAAAUAUCCGAUUUUGAAGAAUCCUUGCUUAGACUGUCCAUAACAUCUACAAUCUUGGUGAUCACCCCCUCAAGUACAUGGCUUCUAUCUAUCUGCUCAGCACUGAUAUCUCUUACAAACCCCUCCAUGUCUUUCAUCAGGAACAACUCCGUCAAAUCUGGAAGCUGCAUCGCGGCACAUAUAUUUUGACAGAUUUCCUCACAUUUCCCAUGAAAGUUUUCGAAUACCUGAUCAAACUUAAUAAUCAUGAUGGAAUCAAGUAUCUGAUGAAGUACACAAGUAUCUGCCCCAAACUUCUCCUUUGAGUUGCCCAGCUUGAGUAAGCCAUCUAUUGUCAGCACAAUGCACCUUAUGCUUAGAAUACAUGAAAGAAGAAUCGCACUAGAAGUUUGAAGACUAGUGGGAAAUCCAUGUACCAUAAAUUCCCAAAACACUUUCCAUAUAACACCCGAACCUCUUCCAUCACCCAGAGAAUCCAGUUUUGACAGAUAAAAAAUGCAUUGAAGAUGGAGGGAAUUGUCCCCAAUCUUCGCAUAUUCACCUUGCAGACUUUUACCAAAUUGAGUAUGCUUGAGAAGUAGCAGAGAAGGCGAACUAUGACCAUGAUGAUUCCAAGCGCUGAAAGUUGCAAGGAAAGCUUCCUUAUACACUCGUAAAUAUUUGCUAACCAAUGAUGAAAGCAUUCUCAGCAGUUCUGUUAUACCACCGGUCUCCAUCAAGUAAGAGACUACACCUUCUGCAGCAGCAACAUAAUUGGCGUCAACAGAUGUGCACUCCCUCCAGAAGGGAUCGAUUUCUGAACGUGAAUGGUUCUUGCAAUAACCCCAGACGCCACCAUUAAGAAAGUACAACAGAAGGGAGAGCCACGAUCCUUCGCGGAUAAACUCCCAACCCAAAUCCUCAACCACCUGCUCAGGUGAUGCCUGGAGCUGACUUAAAACACCGAACAGAAUGUUUCUCAACUCGAAAUUCUUACCAACAACAUUGAUGUCGCCUACAAGCAAAUGACUGGUGCAGAUGAGAUCCACAGAGCUCGAUAUAUCCAAUUUCUGGAAAUUAACAUGCAAGGAAGGCUGACUAUCUAAUGCACUGUUAAUACGAGCAAUAUCCCAAGAAAGUAAGAAAAUGUAUCUUUCCACUAUUAGGUCUUCCACUUUUACUGCCUUUUUCCCCUUCCAUAGCCCCAAAACCCAGGACAAACUUGCAGAUAAAUCUCCAUAAUCCAGGUUUAGGAUUUUGGCAGCAGACACAUCAUUCUGAAAUGUAGGAGGAUGUGGGGAAAAGUCAAUCAUUUGACUCAUCAGAUGGCUGAGUGACUCCUCUUCAGCCCAUGAAUCAGUUAUCCCCCUUGCUACAAGAGAUGCCCAAGAAGAUAAAUGAUCACCAACGGUUACAUGCAAAUUACUACCACAGCUACGAACUUCCCUCAAUUUAGAUCUUAGAUCUAGCAUUAAUGAUGUUGGGCAUGUGUUUGGAUGUAACAACAUAUGGUGCAACAGAACUAACAACCGAGAUAUCAGUAUGGCCCAACAGGACAGCUGGGGACCAUCACAUAUUCCUGACGGGGUCUCAACUUUAUGCAGACACGAAACAAUAAGAUUUGAGAAUUUUGCCUUCUCUGCUUCACUUGAUAAAUGGAAAGCCAUAAGAAGAAUCUCAAUAUGGAAAGCAGAGGGAAGACAUGCAGUCAACUCCUUGAGACUCAAAACUUCAGCACAUAUACUUCUUGCUCUGUCAGCAAUAAAAGUAACGAAACCCUCAUAAACUUUGGCUCUCAAUUGUACCCCAGCCAAGCCCGGCCUACAAAGAAGAGUGUGAGCCAACAACGCCAAAGUCUUAUCAUUAUAGUUGAGGUCACUAUUUUCAACAACAAGAAUUUUCUGAAAAAGGUAGGACUCAAGAGAUUCAGACAGAGAACGACUUCUUAAGAGAUUGAGUAACAGCUCAAAGGCAACAUGUCCAGGUUUUCCCUCAUCUUGGAGCAUGCAACCAACAUCAGAAGCCUUGUCUUCAAUACUACAGCCUACAAUGUUGAGCAGGAUAUCAAUGUGACCAGCGUCAAGCUUUUUACAUCCAUCUUCGUAUAUACUAGGAACCCAUUCUUGACAAAAAAUGCAAGUUCGAAGAAAAUUCAACAGUUCCUUAGCAGCUUGCAAUGGUAAAUUGCUGCUGACAGAAACAGGUGGUUGAUCAUUUGGUUCUACGGAACACAGAGAACGGCUACCCUCAGAAAACAAGUUUCCAAACAGGGCUUCAUCGUCAUGAGAAAUUUGGCUUUCGACUUCCGCAAAACUGUUGGAUCUUAAACUGGAAUAUGUCCUUUCCACUUUUGGUCGUAACUUUACACCUUCGCGAUGGAGGAAAUAAACAAGAUGGAAGAAGUUACCCAGCCAAUGACUUGAUGAAGGAAAUAUCAGUCUCAUUAUAUCCUCGACCGCGAAGCACUUGAGCAAUGGGAUCUUUUCCUGUCUCAGAUGGAAAUAAACAGAAUCAGCAGAGGAAUUGGUAUUGUCAUACGUGACUUCUGACUCUAAAAUCCUCAGAUCUUGGAUAUGGAAUGGUUGUCUUUUCAGAUCUUGAAUGAGUUUCAAUGUGUACAUGACAGACCGAGGGAAGUAAGCAAGUGGAGGGGUCAAAUUACAAGAGGACGCAUCAUAUCUCCACAUUGAGGCAUCUAGAUUGUUCAGAAUAGAAACUGACACACAUGCCUGGACAUUCUGAAAAACACUGCUCUUGCCAAAAAUGAGUUGGAUGAGAUUAAGAAAUCCCUCCAGCAGCGCAAGAGAAAGACUCUCAAUAUUACCCUCUGUAGCAGUGUGGUUAGUGAAUUCAGAAAAAACCCUAAACAGCUUAGGAAACGUAUCCGUAAAUGAAGCUACUGCCUGUAACAAUGAACAAUCGUUUUCAAUACUUUGAACAUCUUUGGAAAGACUUCCAAGCAGCUUCAAAAUUCUUAAGCAGAAGGACAAUUUAUCAAGGAAAGCUUGAUCAACCGUCUUUUCAUCCAACACACUUGGCAAUUGAACAAGCUCGUUGCAGACCAUAAUCAGACGACAAACACAGCCAAGGUGAACAACAGCCAGGUGUCGAGUCAAGGGGUUCAGGUUUCCACAGUCUUGUUGAAAAGAGGGCUUUACAACUGAAUGCGCUUGGGCAUCAGAUUCAAUGCAUUCAGACAUCAGCGUAAUAAGAAGCCGGUCAACUGGCUUCUCUUCAUUUGAGCAUCUGCCCCCUGCUUGACAUGCCAAAUGAUGUAACGGUAAUCAGAUAAAUUUUAAGUAAGAAAAGAAAAUUGCUGAGUGAUUGGUAGUUAAUACCUUGAAAAGUACAUUUCACAAGGUUAUAGAAUUCCAUAUUAUCAUGCUCGCCAGAAAAUGCUGGCCAUAGUUCUGCAACUUCUGCGGGAGAUACAGCUGGCAGGAUAUUAUACUGCUUCUCACUUCCAUCAAAAGAAGCUAUUUCCAAAAGUACUUCCAUGUUUAUCUGAUUCAAGCAAGCAUUGGAGAGAUUACUAAUGCUAUCAAGCUUGAUAGAAACACAGUAAGGAAGAGUUUGAAAUGGAAGUUGAUUGUAAUUCUACUAUAGCCCUCACUAGAAAAGUUAAAACGAAACAUGUUGGUGAGCAUAUGUGACUAAUGUAUAUGGUGCAACAAUGAAACCUAACCACUCAUCAAAAACCUGAUAAAGACUUACAAAACGAGUUCAAAACGCCUCAUCAAAAAAACUAAAUAUAUAUACAAAUACAGACAAAUAAAUUCUCUAGAAGGUAAAGAAUGACACUGAUCAAAAUAAAGAACGAACCUCAAUUUUAAGAUCAUUUUGUGUAAAAUUUGACUUCUCCAAGAAGCUGAGGGAGAACUCCAUCACCUCCUGGAUGACACCCAAAACUAUUGGUUCGAGUUGGUCCACUGAGAUACAACAAAAAAGAAAAAGAAAAAAAAAAAACAGUAAGGAAAAUGAUUCGAGGUCCCUAAUCACUGUUUACUGCUUCAUCUGGAGAAUAAACAAGUAAAGGGUAGCACAAGAAAGAAGCAAAUCUAUCAAAGCUCAGCUCAGAAAGUGAGAGAAUGACUAUAAUCAAACAAUCGGCAAGCAGAUUCAUAGAGACCAAAACCUUGAUUGAAACUAAUAAGUGUCAAGUCAGUACCUAAUAGAGAUCGCGAUAAUAGAAGAAUCGCCUGGGAAAUCGAGACAAGUGCUUGAACUUGCGAAUCGGACCAGGUCUGAAAGCGUAGCAUGCCGGAGGAAUCAUCAUCUCCGCCGAUCGGAGCGAUACCCGAGCGAAGGAGGAGGUAGAAAGAACGGAGACCGCGUUUGAUCGAAUCAUCGGAGUGUAAACGGCGAGAAAAGAGAUCUGAAGAAGCCGAAGACGACAGAGAGGGGAAGGCGGUGUCGUCGAAGAGAAAUCGGCAGAGAUUCGCCAAGUCAUCUGCCAUUUCUGGCGAAGCCAAAUAGAAGAGUGGAACAACGAGGAAAAGGUUUCUUGUAUAGAUAGAUAUAUACAGAAAUGGGGAAGAAGGUAAAAGGGUUUAUCAUAAGCAGCGAGAGUAUCAAAGGCGGUGAAAAGAGGACUCUCUUCUCUAGAGAAGGAAGACGAUGUUCCUUCUUCUUCGUUUUCCUUAUUCUUUACUUUCAAAAUCAGACAAUAAUAAUAUUUAGAAAUUUCCUUUAUUAUUUAACACUUAAUUAAAUCUAUCUAUAAUUCGUUAAAAAAAACUAUAGUUGUUUUAAUUAAAUAAUACUUUUACAAAAAAAAGAAAUAAUAAUACGUAGAAAAUACGAAUUGCAGUAUUCUUAUUGGUCCAGCAUUUGAAAUACAUUUUUUUUUAUUAUCAGUGAUUUUAAUUUUGUAUAAUUAACAGAGAUUUAAUGGAUGAAGAAACAAAAACAAACAUUUUAGGAAGCCCAAAAGGGCACCAAUGUAUGUGUUCACAUAUUAUAAACCUCCCAAUUAGCAGAUGAGUUAAAGAUACACAAUCUGUUUUUAUCCUCUCUCAAUUUUAUUCAUAAGAUUCAUUUGACCUCACAAGUGUGUGUGUUAAACUGUCAAUAGAUAAGAAAUUUUUAUAAGAUCUGUGACAUAUAACCAAAGUAUAUCUCAGAUGCAAAUAAAUCAUUAUGUACAUCACCACUUUUCUUCACUAUGAUAGAAUAAAACGCAAGAUGUUUUCUUUUAGGUUUUCUACACAAAAAGUAAUUCAACUAAUAGAUUAGUGACAAGUGAGAUAUCAUACAAGAAGAUAUUAACUACAGUAAACAGACACGUCUCCCGUCGACUCUGCAAAUCAUCAUCAAAUCCCAUUUAGGCAGAGACCAACCUGCAAAACAAAGGACCAUUGGAAAGGAAGAGCUAGAAGAAAACCACACCACCUAAAGAAACAAUCGCUGUCUUAAAAUGUUAGAAGACACUAGUCAAGAUGAAACGAGAGCCUUGUCAGGUAGAAUUUGGGAUAAGAAGGCUAGAAGAAAAAAGAGAAGGAGGAAGGAGAAUAGUGGAAAAAGCUAAAGAACAACAAGUGCGUCUCUUAGUGGUCGGAGAAGAGAAGAAACCACCGGUUUGGAGAUCGUUGAAAGAGAUGGGAAUGGGAAGAAACAGCAAGGCUGAGCAGGAGUUCUCAAGUAUUUCCUGUAGAAGGCUUCACGUAUGACCAUUGCGGUUAAACCAAAGAACUGUAAUUAAGCUUGGUGUUUUGAUUUUGUUUGUAGAGAUUGAUUUCAGUUUUGUUAUAUUAAGAUAUGCCGACAAAAGCAUAUUCAAAGUACAAUUCUCCAAACUGGUUAUUAUAUAACUGUUGUAUUUUUAUGUUGUUCCUCUUUAUACUUGAGAGGCUCACCAGUUACCAUCUCUCAUUCUCUUUAGUAUCUCUCUGUUUCUCUUCUUUAUUGAAACAUAGAUUAUAUUGUUCUCUCUUUUACUCUCUUGUCAUUUGUUUAGUUUUCUUGUUUUAACAAAUACAUAUAGUCAUAUACAAACGAAAAACAAAAACAAAGACAUGAAACGUUUAGUAAGAGAGAAGAAGAGAAAAACAUUCAUGUUGUUAUUGACCGAUCACGAGGAUACUCUUAUACUAGUUACUACUCUCUUACACUUACGCACUCAAGUCUAGAUUAACCAGCCACAUUAGGUAUGAUUGAUUCCAGUUUCUGGACUAAUGUUACAACUUACAAGCAAAGUUUGAACAACUCUGUUACACCUAUCUAGCUAUUCCAGCAAUUCUCUUAAGUCUAAACAAACCAACUUAUAAGUCUAUUUAGCUUACGACGACACAACUAGAUGAAUGGGCCAGACUAAACCUGAUAGACAUUUCUUUAUUGGACCAGAACCAAAUCUGCAAGGCCCAUCCCCAUCUCAUUCACCAAUCUAUCAGGUUUUCACUUGUUGACUUCUAUUUGGCGUUGACUCCUUCGCGGCAGCUUCUUCUGCUCCGACGCCUCUUCUUCUUUUCCCUUUUGCGCUUUGCUUCUUCUCCUCUUCUUCCUUCUUCUUACUCUUAUCAUUGAAGCUUUCUCUUAUUGCAGGUUGAAUCAUGGUUCAACUCCAAUACUCCCUCUUUAAACUUUGGUUGAAACUCCCAAAUCAGUAUAAGGAUUUUGACAUCGACGUGGUGCUUUAUUUACCGGAAACAACGACGAAUCACCACCUUCUACGGCGAGCAUCUCUCUCCGCGUAGGUAUUCUUUCAACUUAUGGCUAAACAAACCUUAAAAUCGUUUCCAAACACGCAGACCGUUGGAAGUAGGAUUGAGUUUUGUUGGAGAAGGAUCCUUAGAAGAAAGAAAUUAGCCAUGGAUCGAUGACCCGAAGCUGUCCAACGGAGAUCCCAUCCCACCGGGUGAAUUCAAAGGCUAUGCCGUGAACUAGGAUGAUUCAGAGGAGCUAUCACUAUACUCACGAAUCAGGUACAAUUGAUUUCGGUUUGGUUUUAAUGGUUUUCGAAUUACAAUUGAUUUUGGUUUGGUUUAAAUUGGUUUAGAAAAGAAGAAAACAAAAAAAAAAAAAAAGCCACGCGACGGCAAUUUUAGAAAAAAGUGCGUGGAAUCGUAAAGGCAUGAUUUGGUGGGUUAGAGAACCCACAGGAAUUGCCUUCACUCGCGCAACUCGCGUUUGGUGCGCGUGGGUAUGAAAUAGAGCCUUCUGAUUGGCUGAAAUAAUUGAAAUAGUAGUGGUAUAGCUCUGAUGUUGCUCCGUUUUUAUAUAUUUUUACUCUGUUUUUCGUCUUUCUUCGCUCAUUUGACGUCUCUGCUAAAAAAACGACAAUGUGAAAGAGGGAAUGAAAACUUCCGCAUCAAACAAAGGUCGUGAUGUUCUUAUUUGCUACUCUAUAUUGUGUAGAAUUGAUUGUAAUAUUGGCUAGGCAGAGACCAACCAGCAAAACAAAAGGACCAUAUAUUGAAAACGAAGAGCUUGAAGAAGAUUAUGCCACUGCCACCUAAAGAAACAAUGUACAGAGGGAAAAACAAUCGCUGUCUUAAAAUGUUAGAAGACAGUAGUCAAGAGAAAACGAGAGACUAGUAUAGAUAUAUACUCUGACUUGUUCGCUUGUGGUUGAGAUAAGAAGGCUAGAAGGAAAAAGAGAAGGAGAAAGGAGAACAGUGGAAGAAGCUAAUUAAAGAAGAAAAAUUGAGCCUCUUAGUGGUUGGAAAGAGAAGAAACCACCGGUCUGGAGAUUGUUGAAAGAGAUGGCGAUGGGAAGAAACGCAGAGGCCGAGCAGGAGUCUCAAGUAUUGCCUAGAGUAGAAAAGGCUUCUAUGUAUGACCGUAGCGGUUUAACCAAAGAAGUGUAUGAUCACAGCCAAACGUUCUUGAUGUGGCGGAGCAUAUUGGCCGCGAAGCAGAACGCCGGGGAUGUUCAGCAUCUAUCGUCUCCACCGACGAAUUAGCCGCAGUAUGUGUGUGUAGUAGUAAAAUCAAUUGGAUUUUUAAAAGCUUGUUAGUUUGAUUUGAAGAUUGUUUGCUGAUGCUUGGAUUUGCCAAGGAAACCUUACAAUCGCUGUCUUAAAAUGUUGAGUGGAUACUUUACUUCAUUUAUGUUAGUUUAUGGCUAUGUUAUGCUACUUAACAGUGAAGUGCUACUUGCUAAUGGUAAUUGCUAGAAAUGUCAAUAUAAAUAUCAGUUUGAAUGAAUCUGUGGGAAGUAGUCUCACAAAUGUUCUUUUUCAAUUUUGGCUCGUGAAAUUAAUUUCCCUUGCAUCUGAAGGUUAUGUAGCAUUUUAACUGUUUUUUGGGAAUUUAUCUUACACAAUAUGUCUCUUAUGUUUUGGCAGACAUCAUACAAAGAGCCCGUGGAAUGUCUCCCGGAAAAUUAUUCAAGGACAAAAGUAAACCAGACUGCUUUCUCAAGAUGGUAUGCACAUCUUGUUACCUAACUAAAAUUUCCUUUUUUUUGUUAUCUCUGAUAUGCUAGUCAACCUCACUGGUUAUGUUACCAAUGCUCUGUUACCUUGAAUCUGGUGGAGUUUAUGUUGCCUGUGAUAAACAUGUUUUCUUGAACUGUCUGAUUUGGGUAUGCAUUAUUAUGCUAAGCCUGGAUGAUAGAAAUUUUAUUCCCCUAGCUUGCUUUAACAUUUCUAUCCAUGUAGACCAGAAAUGAAGUCUUGACUAAAGCUGGAAGCACAAAGGGUGUCCGCCACUUCGAGUUCCAAUGUGUUUGCUCUGUAAGCCACUUACUUUUAAGAUCAACUUUCAAUCAAAUUUGAGAGUGAUGUCUCAUCAACCUCUUUUGUUUUCUCCUCUUUUUUAAGACUAUCCAAUAUGAAGUUGGGGAUGUUGUUGAGCUCCUUUCAAGCGAAAAUCCUUCAGCGAUAGAUGCCUUUUUAGAACACUGCGAUUUAGACCCAAAGUCAUUCAUCACAGUAAGUAGCUUUCAUCGGUUGAUAUUGAAUGAUCUCAGAUUUUCCAAUUUGGGAUUCAGAAUACAUCCCGAGAGUUAAUAUGUUUUCAGGUUGGUCCGAGAGAGACAGAGAAUAGUGGUGUCAAUGAAGAAAUGAUUACAUAGCUCCCUAUCAGGCUUAAGACUUUUGUUGAAUUAACAAUGGAUGUUACAUCUGCCUCACCCCGACGAUACUUCUUUGAGGUAAGAACCCUUUAAUCCUUCAAUCCUGAUGCAUUUGAAUUUCAAAUUUAUGAAAGUCCUUUUCAUCUUACGUAGAUAUGGCUUUGGGUUUAUCUAUGAAACUAGUACAUGAUGCAAAUCCUUGCAAUGUAUCAUCUCUGUUCAGGUUAUGAGCUUCUAUGCAACAGCUGAACAUGAGAAGGAGAGACCUCAAUACUUUGCAUCACCCGAAGGGAGGGAUGAUCUCUACAAUUACAAUCAGGAAGAAAGAAAGCAUUCUUGAGGUAAAAUAGCAACAGAUCUCACAGGUCCAUGAUGCGUCUUGAACAUGCAUUGACUCUUUUAACCAAAUGGAUCGUAUUGCUAAUGACUAUGUAGGUGCUAGAGGAUUUUCCUUCCGUACAAAUCCCUUUUGAGUGGCUAGUACAGCUAGUCCCACAGCUAAAAGCAAGAGCUUUUUCGAUAUCUUCGUCUCCGUUGGCCCACCCUGCUCAAAUUCAUUUGACCGUAAGCAUAAUGUUGGCUUUAGAAGAGAUUGAGUCAGAGGAGACGGGAGGAUGAAAGGAGGUUGCUUCAAGGUGGCUCAAGGCUUCGGAGAAGGCAGGGAGGUACAAUGUUGAAGCUUGGUCUUAAAUCCAACUUCUUUACGUUAUAUGAAGCCACGUAGCUUAAUUGGUUAUUGUUGUCAGAUUGAUUUUUUAACUUUAUUUUGAUAAUUCACACAAUAAGAAAGUUAACUAAAACGGAAGAUGAUUUGUUUAGUGUUAACAUAAAUAUUUAGCUUUGAAAUACGUACGUACUUUUUGUUGUUGUUUGUUGUAUCUUAAGUUAAAAGUUGUGUUAGUUGUUUUUACUUUAGAAGUAUGGAAGUAGAUGACAUUGAUUUCUCUCUGUACACGAUGAAAAAAGGUGAGAGCAAUCGAGUGGAGAGCCAUGCGUGAAUAACAAAAGAUAAAAAUGAUCCGUCCUCCAUCAAAAUCCCAUAAAAGCAAUGAGAUUUCGACGGACCCUAAAAAUUAAAACUAGAAAAUUGUAGAAGUAUAAAAUUGAAAAAAAAGGAAUUGGAAUUAUCUUCAAACUUGAAAAUUCAUAAUCUGAACAUAUUAAUAAACUAUAAUAUAUGGAUGUCCUACUUUGAUUUUCAUUAGUUAUUGAGUAAGCAAUACUAAUUAAUAUAUUAAUUAAUGGAGUUUAGUGUUAUGUGUGUUUUAAAAGGUCAACUUAAUUUUUUGUGUUGGGUGCUAAUUCAUGAAGCUCCAUUGGCAUCCAACAAACAAAGCUCUCUCUCUCUCUCUCUAUCUCUCUGUCUGUCUGUCUCUCACCCACCUUCACAACAGCAAUCAUCAUUCAUCAUUCAUCAUCUUCUUCUCCAUCUUCAGUCUUCCUCACUUUCUCCGCAAUCUUUCUUUUACUGUCACCGACGACAGAACCAAAAAAAAAAGAAAUCUCCUUUUUUCCACUUUUGAAAUUACUGGGGAAUUGCACAAUUAAUUAAAGUAAAAAUUGAGAAUUUAAAGGGCUUCUCUCAGGAACUCUUCUUCUUUCGUUGGUUAUUUGUUUGUUUCAUCUCUCUCUCCCUCUCUCGAUCGUAAAGUAAAGUAAAGAAAUCAGUUUAGGUCUCUCUCCUUGCAGCUCUAAUUCUCGAUUAAAAGGUUUACUCUUUCUUCUUAAUCACUAGAAGUGGGUUGUGAUCAUUAUUACGAUCCCCUUUAUCGUUUAUUGAUCUCAAAUGUUUUGUUUUCUAUAUUUUGGUCAAAUUUCGCUGAUGAUGAUACACUCUCUGUUUCCUCUCUUCUUUUGAUUACUCUUUUAUGGUGUUUCUUCUUCUUUCACUGUUCGGUGUAUCUUAUCUCAAUUCGUUUUUUUUUUUUUCUUCUUCUGUGAUAUAUUAUUUAUUGUGGUUGUCGGAACCUAAUUUAGGGUUUUAUGUGCUUGCAUUCCACUUUACUGAAACCUCGAGUUAGUUGUUGUAAGUGUUCAGAGUUCAGAUCGGAACUCUCACUUGCUACUGUAACAGAAAUUGGACUUUUGGUUUCUUUAAGAUGAAUUUGUAUUGUAUUACUUGAAGUUUGCUUUUUUUUUUUUCCAAUAUUGAUCACAUCAUUCUCUUCACUUCACAGAUCUUUGGAGUUAUCAAGGCAUCAAACACCAUUAUAUCAUUGAAGCAGAUGUUUUUUUUGGGGAAUCAUACUUCUCUAAAUAGAAACUUUCAAUCAACGUUGAAAGUUUUUUGAGAGUCUCAUAAUCGGAUUCAGAUAGAUAUUUACAUGCAUGGAUAUAUUUAUCACUUGUUGAUAUCUCAGUGUUGUGGUCUGAGAAAGUUGGGGUAAAGGAAUUCAUUCAAAUUAACAUAGAAAGAGAGACGGACAAGAUGGGAUGUGUUUCUUCUUGCUUUCGGGUAGAAGACAUUGAUGACUACAUGAAUCCAAAUAGCUCUGUGUAUAGGAACUGUCCCUGCAUUAGAUGCCUUGCUCAUAAUUUCCUUAACUUGGUACGUUCUUCACAUUGCUUAUUUCAAUUGAUACUUUCUUAUAUCUCAAAAGUUUUCAUGUUUCUAUGGUCACAAUGUAGACUUCUUGUCACAAUUUUUUUUACUUUGAUCAUUCAUUUAAAUUUCUGAGCCCAUAUUAAUCGUUGCAGUAUGUCUCGGUCUUCAGAAGAGGGGAAACCCGCUCUCUCCCAUCUUCGGUUCAAGCUACUGCAUCGAUGACUUCCUCUUCUUCGCACGAUAACUUUCUGUCUGAAGCAUUCCGUUCUACACCAAGACCUCUCCCUUAUGAUGCUGAUCCUAGAUAUUUCCGUUCACUCAUCUCAAGACGGGAGAAGGGUUCAAGUCAUUCCCAUGAUGAAGCUGAACCUUUAAGAAGUGAUAGCGAUGCAGAUUCUGAAUCUUUCGGGGCUGGAGGAUGCAAAUGGGCUAACAGUAAGUCCACCAUUUCUGAUAAAGAUUCCAAAGAAGAGUACUCUAGUAAAUCCAGUCUCAGGAUUUUGAAAUCAAAGUCAAAAUCAGUAAUGGUAGACUCUGAAAACAUGUAUAUACUGUCUGAAGAUGAAGAUGUUUGUCCAACUUGUCUUGAAGGUGAAAAUCCCACUCCUAGUUGUCUUUCGCAAUUUCCUUUAUGAGUUUUUUUUAAGUAUUCAUCUUCUUGUUGGUCUUUUGCAGAAUAUACAUCGGAGAACCCAAAGAUUGUGACAAAAUGUUCUCACCAUUUCCACCUUAGUUGCAUUUAUGAGUGGAUGGAGCGAAGUGAAAACUGUCCUGUCUGCGGAAAGGUAACCACUUUUUUCUAAAUUCUCUUUAGAAAACUUCGGCCAAAGCAAAUACGCUUUUUGAAAUAGCCUGGUCUAGAGGAUUAAAAGCUAACAUUUUCCUGGAAUCUAUAGCAAUUUUGUUGUUCUGAUUCAUUCUGAUUAAGAAAAGAGCUUCAUUUCAACUUUCAAAUUUUCUUUCCAUAACUUCUACUGGUAAAGUUGUUUGAUAGGUAGAAGAAGUGAAGUGUAUGUGUGUGUGUAGAAAUGUCCUGAUAGAGAGUUAAAUCAUUUCUCGGAAUCCAUAACAGUUGUAUUCUUCUGAUUCAUUCGGAUUUAAGGAGAGCUCCCAUGUUUGCCAUUUUCCUUGUAUGCAAUGCAGGUGAUGGAGUUCAAUGAAACACCGUGAUAAUCUGCCAUUGAUCUGAGUCCUGUAUCUGAACUGAAACUGGGGAAGAUGACAAGGCAAUAUGCAAGGAAUAAUUUGUAAAUUUGGCUUGUUGGUUUGUGAAUAUUUUUCAUUUACGAUGGUAAAUAUAUAUGAAGCAGAAAGGGAGAAAAUGUUCCUCUGCAACAGUUCUAAGUUUCCAUGAAACAAGAAGCAAUGUUUUAUCUUUAAGUGAUUUUCUCCCAUGAAUUUGUCUCUGUUUGUAUUCCCUCUCCAAUCAUCGAAACUCUUACAUCAUUGUCGUUCGAUAGAUUAAAAUUUCCCUUAUAAAGUGUUCAAUUUAAGGAAUACAAAAACUGAUACAGUGAUAGUCUUAUGAAGUGGGGAAAAGAUAAAGAAAAACAACAAGUUUAGGGACUUUUGUGUAAAUAUACCAUAAAGUGAAGGUCUUCUGGUGUUAAUAUCAGAAAUUUUGUCUCCCGACUCUGUCCCCGAGCUCUUGGGAGCAAAUGAACGAACGAGAACGACCUUCAUUGCUUCUCUCUUUACCUCUGUUUCUUACACAUUAACAAAGCCCCAAACGCAACAACAAGUUUCAGAAUUUUCGAUUCAUCCAAUUUUUAUUGUUGAUAUUUGAGGUACGGUUUCAGAUUCUCUCUGGAUUGUUGCUUUUUCUUUCUUUCAGUUUCAGGAAUUGAGUUUGCAUUUGCGUGUGGUGUCAUCUUAGUCAUAGAAGAACUUCAUUUAUUGUUUCCCUCAAAUUUGUGAUUAGCUCUAGGAAUGGGUAUUUGAAAAACUUGCCUGAUUCGUGAUCGCAUCUGCUCAUUUCUGUAAAAACAGAGUUUUGUUCAGUUCCUUCAUAAAUUUGGGGUCUUUUCGAAAAGAUGACAAUUUUUGUGUAUGAUUCAUCUUAAAGGGGAGUCCUAAAUAUGGAUAUUGGAGAAAUCAUUGGUGAAGUAGCUCCACCUGUGAGUAUCCCAACAAAGAGCGCAAUAUACGUUUGGGGUUACAAUCAAAGCGGACAAACUGGUAGGAAGGGACACGAGAAGCUUUUGCGUAUCCCAAAACAGCUUCCUCCUGAGCUUUUUGGUUGCCCCGCUGGUGCGAAUUCCCGUUGGCUCGAUAUAUCUUGUGGUCGGGAACAUACAGCUGCCGUUGCAUCAGAUGGAUCUCUCUUUACUUGGGGUCUGUCUCUUAAUCUCCAUAAACUAGAAUCUGCUCAUUUCGACUUUUGGCUUGAUAGUCUUUCUUCUUGUGAUGGAAAGUUCUUUUCUUUCUGUAAUCAAUGUGAUAGAAAUCUAUCUAAGUAGUUACCAGUUAGUUGUUUGGUUGGAUCUUGUUGUUGAAUCUGUCGCAAUCCGUAACUUCCUGAAGUCGGGAUGGUUAUGUCCUUGUUUCAGGUGCUAAUGAAUAUGGUCAGCUUGGGGAUGGAACCGAGGUUGGGAGGAAACAUCCAAAGAAGGUUAAGCAGCUGCAAUCAGAAUUUGUGAAAUUUGUGUCUUGUGGAGCUUUUUGCACUGCAGCUAUAGCAGAACCCCGUGACAAUGACGGUACUCUUUCCACUAGUAGACUAUGGGUUUGGGGCCAAAACCAGGUAUUGCAGGUUCCAUUAUCAUGACUGGAAUUGCCACCUCAUGUGCUAUUCAUAUAAUCUCUCAAAUUUCUUCAUGACAGGGAUCAAAUUUACCACGCUUGUUUUCUGGGGCAUUUCCUGUUACAACGGUAUGUACUAAAAACCUAUCGAAUGAUUGAAACAUAUUAGUGUAAACAGUGAUUUGGUGAUAUAUGCACAUAUUAUAGGCGAUCCGCCAAGUAUCCUGUGGGACAGCUCAUGUUGUGGCCUUAUCAGAAGAAGGCCUUCUUCAAGCUUGGGGUAAGAAUGCUUGGAGAUCUUGUUAUGCACUAAAACCUGUUUAUUUGGUAAUAUUUUUUGUGAUUUUGUAUGUCUUCCAUGGAAAUUAUAAGGCUAUAAUGAACAAGGCCAACUUGGUAGAGGAGUCACUUGUGAAGGACUACAAGCACCUCGUGUGAUAACUGCUUAUGCGAAGUUCCUUGAUGAAGCACCUGAGCUUGUGAAGAUUAUGCAAGUUUCAUGUGGGGAAUACCAUACUGCUGCUGUAUCUGAUACAGGCGAGGUGUAAGUUAUCUAUAUGCCUUUUCUUGAAAACGUUGUGGUUAUUCACAUGGCAUGGGUAGCUAAUUCUCUGUGCAAGGGUCCGGGGAAGGAAAUCCUUCUGAUGGAGAUAUUGAUCUCAUCACAUCCUAGCUGAUGGAAUGCUUGAGGAAGCAAAUGGAUUCCUGACUAUGCAAGUCUCCUUCCCUUUCGCUUAAUUUAUUUUGGUUAUCUUAUUCAGUGUCCACUGCUUAUCUCUUAUGCUGCAGUUAUACUUGGGGAUUAGGAAGCAUGGGUCAACUUGGGCAUGUUUCUCUUCAGUCCGAGGAUAAGGAGUUAAUACCAAGACGAGUCAAUGGUCUUGAUGGUGUGUCAAUGAAAGAAGUUGCUUGUGGUGGUGUACACACUUGUGCUUUAUCUUUGGAAGGAGCACUUUAUGCUUGGGGUGGUGGCCAAGCAGGACAGCUAGGACUUGGUCCUCAAUCUGUUUUUUUGUUUAAAGUCUCUAAUGGAAGCGAAAUGCUUCUACGAAAUGUCCCUGUUUUAGUCAUCCCAACUGAUGUCCGGCUUGUUGCUUGUGGACAUUCUCACACGCUCGUUUAUAUGAGAGAGGGACGCAUUUGCGGAUGGGGUUAUAAUAGCUAUGGUCAAGCAGCAAAUGAGAAAUCGUCAUAUGCUUGGUACCCAUCGCCUGUAGACUGGUAUAGCUCAAACAGUUUAUAUUGUUAAAUCAAAGCAAAGAUAUAAAACAGUUUGUGAUGCAAACAUUGUAAUAUUUUCAGUUAAAUUUAACGUGAACUCUGGUGUUUCAUUUAGGUGCGUAGGACAAGUGAGGAAGCUAGCAGCAGGAGGUGGUCAUUCGGCUGUUUUAACUGAUGCAUUUUCAUUGAAGGAGUUGUGUGAAUUUCAAUUAGCAGACAGUGUGAACCUCUCAAAUGCUUCAAAGAUUCAAGAUGUUGCAUUCAGAAUGGGUUCCGAAGCUUUAGCCCGCCUAUGCGAAAGACUCAGGUAAGAAAAGUUGAAGUUUCUGGAAAAACGUCUCUGUUACCUCGUAAACUUUAAAACUUAAGAGGGAAACCAAGUUAAACAAUGUGACUUGAUGUGUUUCAGGGAGCAGUUCCUUGAUGGAGACUUUACUAAUGGGGAAGAAGUAUAUUAAAAAGCACAAACCCCAAACUCUAGAACAAUUAGUACUGAUGGAAGUUAAUACAAUUCAUCCUGUAUCGUUAAACAAUUGAAAAAUGUAGUAAACCAGAAAGUCCAUUCUUCAGCAGAACUCUGUACCAUUGUAUCUUUCAGGACAGAUUUCAUUACCUGUCCUGUGUCUGUAACUGUAAGAUCCAGUUGUUGUAAUUAUCUGUUCUGUACUCUUUCGAAUUGAAAAUAAAACAAGUUGGAUCUUGGUGGCAUUGUCAAAUGUUGAAUCUCACUGUUAACUUGAAAGUUUAUUAGCCUCUGUUGCAGGCUAUGUCGGUUAGCAUCUAACAGUGUAGUCUUUGUUCAUAUUGUAAUAUGAAAAAACAGAAUGAAUAAUUAAACCAGAUGAGACAUGGUUAAUCUUAACAUUUUAGUUCUUACACAUUACAAUCCCAUACAUAGAAGCAAAGGUUACUAAAGGCACAAACAUCUCCUGAAACAGGAGAGACAUUGGAGGCUAUUAUGGUUAUAGCCACUUAUGUAUCCAAAUCAAAGUCUUGUGCAUACAUAAACACAAAAUUCAUUACUAUUCAUUCUUAUUCAUAUGCAUAAGAUCAAAGACCUCACGCGCCAAGACCCCACCAGUACUUUCUUAAGAUCCUUAAUGGGUGAAGAAGUAUCACUCAUAGCAUCCAGCCAGGGAUGUAGCCGUUUCCUGGUUGGUUAUGACCUUGCGUCGCUACAGCCAUUUGCUCCGAGCACACUGGAUGGCCAUACCUGUUUGCAUCACCACAACAUCUUAAUUUAGGAAUUUACAAUCUAAGCCCACAACCUGUUUCCCUCCUAUAGACAUCAAAUUAAAGUGCUGAAAACUUUGACUAAACAACACGAGUUUUAACCAAAUAUCUUUAAAACAAAGACAAUGUUGGGCUUAACCAAACUGUAUUAACUGUUUAUCACUUAAGUUGAUGUGUUAAGGCAAGAGAAGUUGUAUGAUUUACCCAAUUUGCAAAGUGGGAUCACAUUCAAGAGAUUGGUAUAGUCCCUGAGAAUGAGCCUGAUGAUGUCCGUAGACAACAUUCUGUUGAUCACCGGCUUCCCAUGCUCCUCCUAUAUGGUGAUGUCUCACGCCGAUCAUAUCUUCCAGCUAAACAAAACACAACAUUAUUCAAACUUUCUUGAAACCAUUUCACAGAAAUAAUCCAAAAGAGGAGCUAGGCAUGUAGCAGUUGAAGAUUAUUGUGAACUUAGACUCAUACAGAGAGAGAAAGAGAAGCAUCAUAUACCUUCACUGACAAAGCUCUGUUGGCUUCAAGCAAGAUAUGCUCUUUACCUUGAAGAUCAGAGAGCUGGUCAAGCAUAUACUGCGUCUGAGAAAGAAAAAGAUAAACAAUCAUUUUCAGACACAUAUAUAUAUAUAUAUAGAGAGAGAGAGAGAGAGAUCAUUUGUGUGAAUCUUUUUGUGUAUAUAUACAAUGAUUGAAAUAUUAAAAUCACCUUGAUGCAGCGAACUUGCUUCAGAGAGCCGUCUAGUUGACGCUCAAGCUGCUCUAGCUCCUUUGAAUUCAGAGGUCCAAGGUCCUCUCCAAGUAGGUUUCUGCAGCAUUAACACACACUUACAUGCAUCAAACACUAACAUUUAUUUAUAUAAUGUGCAUAAAAACCAAUGUAUAUAUAUAUACAUACCUCUGCUGACGCUGCAGAUUUUCAUAUCUACCUUUCAGCUUCAAAUACUCUCUGUAGCUGUUCUGAAAGAUGCCAAGAAAAUAGACAAUAAUGUUGGAACACUUAUAUAUGUAUCUUCGAAUCUUGAGAAAAUUUGAAGUGAUUUUGUUAAUAUCAAACAAAAUUAGUUGAUCAGGAAGAAGAAGAAAGAUCAAACCUCAAGUUCUUUGGCAGGUUUGUUGUUGACUUCAAUGGAGCCAUAACUGCACUUCUGGUACCUUUCCAGUGUCUUAAGCAUGCUGAAAGAUCAAACACACAAAUUAGGAGAAGAAGAAAUCAAGAAACUAUUCAUUUGAUGACAGGAAUUAAGAAUUAAAUUUAAUUCAAAAAUAUAUAUAUAUUAAUACAAAAAAAAAAAACUGGAACAAAGAAGAUCUUGGGCGGAUUGAUUAAUAUAAAAAGAUAAGAUGUUAUUAUAAGAUUAAUUUGGUGCUUAAAUGUCUGCAUGAGGUUGAGACUGGUUAAUGCAUGGAACCACAAACUUAUUAUUCUACGUUGGAUCUUCUUAUUUUUAUUGAAGACUGUGAAUCUUUAAUUUACUUUUGAUAGUCCUAAUCACAUAUAUAUCUGUGUAGAGCCAAUGAUAUUACUUAUUCAUCAUUAAUUAUAUAUGACACUUACCUAGCUAGCUCUCCUACAAAGUAAUUUGAAUCUCUAUACAUACAAUUAGUUGCAAUUUUUGACAUGAGAAUAGAUCAGAUCUCGAAAUCCAAUCAAUAUGAACUAAAUUAUAUAUUAUCCUUCUAUAAUCAAAACCUAAGAGAUCAGAUUUAGAAACUAAUGAAAAUAUAUCAAGUUUGUUAAAAAGAAAUCAAGAACAAAACAAAACCUCUCAAGACUUCAAAAGUACUCAGAAAGAAGAUCUAGACACAGAUCUAGAGCAAUUGUUUUAUAAAAUGUAUCUGAGAGAGAAAUUAAAGAAGAAGUACUUGGAGGUGCUGCAGAACUCGUAGAGCUUGCCACGGUUGGAGAAAACGAUGAGAGAGACCUCAGCAUCGCAGAGAACAGAAAGCUCAUAAGCUUUUUUCAACAGACCGUUCCUACGCUUAGCAAACGUCACUUGUCUGUUGAUUUUGUUCUCUAUCCUCUUCAGCUCUACUCUUCCUCUUCCCAUUUUUUCAAACACACAAAAAAAAGAAAAGAAAAAUCCCCUAAUUUAUUUAUAAAUUUGUAGCUAAUAUAUGUGUGACCUUAUUAGGGUAUGCAAUGUUUUGUCUAUAUACAGACACACACAAACAUGACUGACUUUUUAUCUGGCGAAAGAUCUUAUCUUUUGGAGAAGUAAACCCUAGUUUUUUAUUUUUCUUUUAUUUUCAAGAACAAGCUAGGAAAAGAAGAUGAUGAGGGAUAUCUAUAUAGAGAGAAAAUAAAAGAGGAAACUUUAGCUUUCUGAUCAGGCAGCUGGUUUUGGUUUUGAUUUGAUAAAAGGGCUACUAGCUCUUGUUUAUUCUUUAGAUCUUUUUUUUUUUUUUUGAAGGGUUGUGAUGAGAUUGUGAAUCUGAAGAAAAGUUUUUGUGAAUCUAUAAAAGCCUAUCAAAGAGAUAAGAAAAUUUGUGAGGGUGAGAGAUCAUUAGGGUUUGUUUGGUGUGUUUUCAUUCACACACUCUCUCUCUCUCUCUACUUCUUUACUCUUUCUCUCUCUCCUAUAGUAGCAAAAAAAAAACAAAACAUCCUCACAGCUCUCUUCCAUGCGCGUGUCACUCAGACGUCAUUGUUUUGAAACAAAUUAAGAAAUAUUCAAGUUUUAAUGUUUUAUUGAUUUACAUAUUUCAUGUCUACGUAUACAUACAUUCCCUAAGUAAUUACUAAGAAAAAACUGAAUAAAUCAUCGAGCUCAAAUUCUAAAUUCAUACUAGCUUUGUGGUUUUCUUUUCUUUAUUAAGUGGUUGAAUUAAAAUAUAGAAUGAUGACAACGUACGUUUUAAAACCUUCCAAUUAAUGUUUGUUUUAUUCCAUAUUAAUUCAUAUAUAAGCGUAAAAGUAUUGCACUAGUGUAUAUAUAUGUGAAACUUAACAGCCUUAUUGUAAAGUCAGAAAACUCAUCCAUUAUAGCUCAAGUUCCACACACUAAUAAGGCUAGAAUUAAAUCUUCAUCUCAAUAGAUUUUGUGCUUAUAUAUUAUAGAUGGUGUAACUCUACACAACGUACACGUACAUACGAAAAUUUGCUACUUCCUUUGUAAUAAAGUCUACAAGUUUUGGAAUUUGAAUGACUUAGAAAUGUAAUAUUGUACUAUGGUACAAACAACAGCAGUGCAGUGCAGUGGCUUUGAAUAUAAGGUUAUGUCCAACUGGGUGGGAGAUGAGAAUUGACAUGAUAGGAAAAAGAAAAGUAAAGCUUGGAACACAUACAUACAUUACAUGAUAUAUAUAUGUAUUGGUGGUGGGUAUCUAAGAGAAGAUAAAAGAAACGAAAGCAGGUAUCAUCAUUUUCUACUUCACAAGUCGCAGAAAAGCUUCUCCUACCUUAAAAUGGACAUAUGUACGUGUCGCUCUUCUAUUUGCUUCCUUCAUAGUUCCCUAUCUAUCUAUCUAUCUAUCUAUCUAUUGGACAACGUUUAAGUUUUGUCAAAAAAAACCCAUUCUUUAUGCAUUAUUUUUUGGGUUUGUUUAAGAAAUUUAUACCCUCAGUUUUAUUAUGCAUUUUCCUUAUUCUUCCUAACUUAAAUGGUUAAAAUUUGUGUGUGUUUUGUUUCUUCUAGGUUUGAUUUGGUUUCCUUUAAGCAAAGGCCAUUUCACGAUACUUUUUCCUCCAUGAAUUGUUUAAUUGGGAGAGAACAUGGGAGGAGAUAAUACACACCACAUAUACAUACUGUACAAUUUUUUUUUUUUAUAUAUACUUAGUUGAUUACUCUUUAUUAAACUUAAAGGUGGAUUUAAUUAGUAUGUCUCCAAUCUUUUUCUAUUUUUGGGGCAUUGCUUGCAAGAGUAUUGGGAAUUAAUGAAAGUCUUGUAGGUGAGGCGCCAAGAAGGGUAAUAUAUGUUUUCUUGGGUCAACAAGGGUAAAAUUAGUCUUGGGCAGAAAACAAAAUUACUGUAAUUGUUUUGUUUUUUUAGGUUUAGGUUUUAGUUACGGUACGGUAUUUACUUAUUAUAUUUUUCAUACUCGAUCAAAAUUAAUGUUCUGGACAAUUAAAAUUUAACUAUACAUGGACUUAUGGAAUGUGUUUAUCUGAAGAUUUGUUGCAAAUGUAUACGAUUGUAAGUAAACUAAAUCGACGAUUUUGUAGAAAUCUUAGUAAACUAAAUCGUAGAUUUUGGUUUUGAAUGGAGAUAAUAAAUAUGUCAGAGCAGAUCAAGCAGUUCAAAUAUACCCAGCAGAACAAAAGCAGAUUAAACAGAUAUGGCAUAUUAAAUGCAGAUCAAGUUUUAUUAAUUUUUUAUUAAAAAAGCAGUUCAUUUAAAAACACUCCAAAUCUCCAGCUUUUUUACUGUUCAUAGUGCAGUACAAAUAUCCUUCUUAUUUUUGAUCUGCCAACAGAUCAAUUAUUUUUUAAUAAUAUUUCCUUUUUUGAACUGCCAUUAUAUUAAUUUUGUGUGAAUGGAGGAAAAAUAUCAGUUCUCCCAAUAUGUGUAUUAUCUGCUUUUAAUCUGCCUUUAAUCUACCCUUCCAUACAAAAUCUUAAUUUCUCCUUCGGACAAAGAAUCUACCAGCAAAGAUCUUUAUCUUCAGGUGACGUAGGGGAAAUGUCCGUACACAUUGUUUUUUUUUUUACAGACAGCAAAAAGACGUAAGUAAACGGAAAAAUCAAUAAAAACACAAGUGGGUGAAGGACACGUGUCAACAUAUGAUUGAAUAGUGAGUAAGCUUUGACUUUUGUGGCAGGCGUGGCCUCAAAGGAGUCACCUUUCUAACAGUGUCUUGUCCGGUCCCUCUGUUAAAAGUUUUUUUUUUUUUUUUUUUACCUUUUAUUAUAUUUUACCCCUAUUGAUUUACUAAUACACUAUUCUUGUUAACUUUGGAUUAUUAUCUCUUGUCUUCCUUAUAAUUUUUUUUUUUGAAUGAUUCAAAUCUAAAUCUUUGGCGAGAUCGACACUACUAAAGUCUAGUCUCACUCAUUUAGGAAUUUUAAUACUUGUCAAGAAGUAUGAUUUGAUAGCAGAAAGUGCAACACGAAUGCAAAGAGCAAACUUACCAUUUGGGAAUGUUUUCAAUAGCAAAAAAAAAACAUCGAUCGUCAUUUUCAUGUGUCACAUGGUUUUGAUAUGAUCAACCCAAAAUCUCCAAAGUAGAAGAAACAUGUUGUCACACUGUAUAUAGUGAGGCUUAUAAGCUGGUAUCUUACCUACCAUACAUAUAAUAUAUAUAGGUUUCCUAUAUCUCAACAAAAUCUAUUUUAAAAAUCAUUCAAACAACUAGUGAGCAAACCCUUGGUAGGUUUUUUUAUAUGCAACAUAACCUCCAAAUAUGAAUGAAAUCAACAACAUCUUUUCUUCUAGAUGACUUUUCUGAGAAUGGAAAGAAAUUAAGACUCUAAAAUCUACUUGUACGCACAUGGAGCUUAAUAGAUAUUAAAACAGCAUAAAUAAAUAGUCGCAAAUGGCCCAUUAGCUCAGUUGGUUAGAGCGUCGUGCUAAUAACGCGAAGGUCGCAGGUUCGAAACCUGCAUGGGCCAUUUUUUUAUAUUCAAACCCCUAAUUUUAUACUUAGUCUCGCAUCCCUGUACUUUUUGAUUUUCUUACAUUCACACCCUUAUAUUUACUUUUGGUCUAAAAUACAUACUUGACUUUUUAUUUAUAUACACAUUCAUGCCCACUAUCUUCAUUUUGUUCAGUUAUGUCCAAAUCCAAUCAGAAAAGUAACUGAAAAACAGAUUAAGGAAAUCUCUAAACAAAUUUUAAAGGAAAGGAAAAAAAGAAAAAGAAAAAAGGCAAAUAGUGUUGUAUGUCCGGAAUCCGGAGUAGGGUUUUAAAUUUGAAGUUUAAGUUCAUCCUUCUUCUCCUUCCAAUUCCAAUCAAUCUCUCUCAGCUUUCACUUUGGAAACGAAGCGGAUAGGAUUUAUAUUUCAAUACGUAUUUGUGCUUUGUCAUUGAGUUUACAUAACUCGAUAUUGGUGGUGUGUGAAUUUGUGAAAGAGAGAGAGAAAGACUUAAAGAAGACGAAGCAAUGGAAACGGAUCUGAAUGAUUAUACUGUUGUUAAGGAAGGAGAAGCUGAGAUUCUCAUGCACAAGAAGAAUCAAGUCUUCUUCAAUAAAGCUCAGGUUCCCAAAUUUCUCUUCUUUAUCAAAAUUUUGUGUGUUUCUUUAAGUUUGAAGCUGACAUAUAUAUAUAUAUAUAUAUAUAUAUGUGUUAUCUGAAUUGGCUGCUUUGAUUUUUCUCCACAUGUUGUAGCUUUGGUAAGAUACACUGAACAUUGAUUCAAAAUCAGUUAGCUGAUCCCUUGUUCUGGAACUAGAAUUUCUUUACCUUUUUUUUAUUUAAUCUAGGAAUCUCUCAAUUACUGUUUAAAGUUUGGAUUUUUAUGAUUAUUAGUCAGUUUCAUAGUAAGUAGUUGAUUCAUGGUUUAGUCAAUGAUGUAUGCCUGUUUGAAGUACCGUGAAAUCUAAGAGUGAACCUGAACUCUUUGCUUUAUGUCUAUAUUGACUGAUUAGGUGAACAAUAGAGACAUGUCUAUUGCUGUCCUAAGGGAAUUUAUAUCCAAACGCAAGCAAGAGCAUGAGGGUAAGCCAUCUAAAAGAGCUAGACCAGCUUCCAAAGUGAACGACAAGGAUUCUUCUGUUGCUUCCAAGGAUGAAACUCCUAGUGAGAACGGUAGGAAUAAUGGUGAACACAAAGUAGCAUCUGAGGAUGGACCAAGCUCUGCAUCUAUAGAUCCUGCUAAGACAACAGAAGGAUUUGCACGAAGAGAAGCCAAGCCACCAAAAGUGCUUGAGGUUCUCCUAAUUCUUUUACUCGCCCUCUUGUUUCAUAGCUUAUUGUGAUCUUGCAGUUAAAUAACUUAACUUUCUUUUUUGUUGCAUACUUAAAAUUUCAGGCUUUGUCAGCUUCUGGGUUACGGGCUCUAAGAUAUGCGCGAGAAAUAGAAGGAAUUGGUCAGGUUGUGGCAUUAGAUAAUGACCUUGGUAAAUUUUUCCUUCAUUCCUGUAUAGAUAUAUUUUUUUUCUCGUAGCUCUCCUAUUUCAAUGCCUAAUGUUGUUCCUAUUUCUUUUAAUAGCAUCCGUGGAAGCUUGCCAGAGAAACAUAAAGUUCAAUGGCUCCGUUGCUAUUUCAAAGGUGGAGUCACAUCAUACCGAUGCUCGUGUCCAUAUGCUUACCCACCCUAAAGAAUUUGAUGUGGUAACCAUUAAUAUAUUCACAAUAUUGUAUCAUUUGCAUAUAGAGUUGCUUCUGUUAAAGUAAUUCUCGCUAUUAAUGUUCUUAGGUUGAUCUUGAUCCAUAUGGAUCACCGUCUAUUUUCCUUGACCCGGCUAUUCAAUCGGUUACGGAUGGUGGAUUGCUAAUGUGUACAGCAACUGACAUGGCAGUGUUAUGUGGUGGUAAUGGUGAAGUUUGCUAUUCCAAGUGAGUUUUUAUCCGUUCACACCUUUCUUUUAAGUUUUAAACAAGUACAGAUGAUGCCUUUGGCUAAACCGAUACUUAAAUCCUUAAUAUAUCAGAUAUGGUUCUUACCCGUUGAGAGGAAAGUAUUGUCAUGAGAUGGCUUUGCGGAUCCUUCUUGCCAGCAUCGAGGUCUGUUUAUCUUAGCCAAAUCCAGUUUUACUAAAUAAUCAUUUUUUCUGUCAUUACCGCCAAUUCUCUCAGUUUCAGAUUGUUUUCUUAUGUUCCUUUUCACCUUGUGGUUAUGAUUUGAUGUAGAGCCAUGCAAACCGCUACAAGCGGUAUAUUGUUCCGGUGCUAUCUGUGCAAAUGGAUUUCUAUGUUCGUGUUUUUGUCCGCGUUUACACGUGAGUUUUCCUUGUUUAAUCAAAACAUGUAACAUCUCAGCAAUACAGAUUAUGAAAUUUUUUUUUGUUUUGUUUUUGAUCCACUGAAACCUCAAAGCUUAAUGAAAUUUUCAGCUCGGCAAGUGCAAUGAAGAACACUCCAUUGAAGCUUUCUUACGUUUAUCAAUGCAUUGGCUGUGAUUCAUUUCAUCUUCAACCUGUCGGAAGAUCCCUCCCUAAGGUAUAUGCACCUGUAAAAAAAUUCACACAUUCUCUUUUCUAUGCAAUGCAUCUCCUAAGAUGAUAGAAACUUGGACUAUAGCCAAUGAUUCUUGUUAUGGUUCUAUGUGUGUCAAUAGUGCAUGUCAUAGUUCCCACCAUUUUAUAAUACUCUCGGAACUAGUAUAUGUGAGGCCACUUCCAAAGUAGUUUAAAUUCUAUCCUAAGACCGUAUUUAAAUAUUUUUUCAUCAUUUGUUUUUUGGGCAGAACAACAGUGUGAGGUAUCUACCAGCAAUUGGUCCGGUUGUGCAGCAGGAUUGCAGCCACUGUGGGAAGAAAUACAACAUGGGUGGACCAAUAUGGUCUGCUCCAAUUCAUGAUCCAGAAUGGGUGACUUCGAUUUUAAGCAGUGUGCAAUCCAUGAAAGACAGAUAUCCUGCUUAUGACAGGAUCUCUGCUGUACUUACUACAGUCUCCGAGGUAAGUUGCUGGAUUCUUUUUUGGUGUUAAGUUUUCUGAAGAACCCAUUUUAAUAUUGAUUUUUAUCUUUCUAUCUUUUUCUUCAGGAAUUGCUUGAUGUUCCCCUGUUUUUGAGUCUGCAUAAUCUUUGUGCGACUCUAAAAUGCAUUUCACCAUCAGCUGCUAUGUUUCGAUCAGCGGUUAUUAAUGCUAAUUACAGAAUCUCGGGGACUCAUGUGAAUCCGCUUGGCAUGAAAACUGAUGCUCCUAUGGAGAUUAUCUGGGACAUUAUGCGCUGCUGGGUAAACUAAGUUGAUGAUUCAUGAUUUGACCUUAUUUCAAUUUACCUAAUCUUGUUUUUGAUGGUUUUUUUAUUUAUUUGGUUGAUGCUGUUUUGUUGCAGGUAAAGAAUCAUCCUAUAAAGGCACAAUCCCCUGAACACCCCGGAAGCAUAAUUUUGUCUAAAGAACCAUCACAUCAGGUAUUUUUCUCGUCUUUUUUCUCAAUUGUUUGAAUCUAAAUACUGUUCCAAACCUGAAUCUGAUUUUCGAUACCGUCUUGUGUUUGGACAGGUUGAUUUUUCGCGUCACAUUGGUUCGUUGAGCAAGGCGCAGGCGAAGAAAAUAGCUCGUUUUCUGCCAAAUCCAGAGAAACAUUGGGGUCCAAAGCUUAGGGCUGGACGCCAAAUCACUAGCAAACAUGUUUCGCUGAUUGGUCAUGAAGCAGUUAAUGGUCAUCUUAAUCAACACCAUGAAGAACUUAAAGAAGAAGAUGAAGAAGCAGAGCAAGAAGAUAACCUCAAAGACAAGGUUGAUCUGAAACGCCAGAAGACAACAACUGAGGAUAUUUCUUCAUCAUCAUAAGACAAAUCACUAAAUGCUUACACAAGAGAUCACGUUUUGUCUACAAGAAGAGUUGCCUCUUCAUGAAGAACUUUGUUAUAUCUGUUUAACCAUUUUUGAUAUUACUUAGGCGUUGUUACCCAUUUUUCUGAUUCUUUUUGUUGUGAACUUGUGAGCUUAUUAGUUUCCUCAUUUAUAAUUUUUCCUAGUGAUUUUAUCUUAGGAUUAAUACUAAAUAUAGAUCAAAGUAAUUUUCUUAAACCCUAGUUAACCCCUUUUGAGAAUGUCAAUAACGUAGCAAUAUGCCAAUAUCAUAGUUAUAUGGUACAAAAUUACAAAGCUAUACAUUGUACACAUUUAUGCGAAAAAAUUACUAAAGUAAAUGCACCGACAUCACUGCCAGAGUAAACACAUUUACCAAUAGCACCAGUUGUUCUGUUCUUUUCCUUCAACCUCAGGCACCAAAGAAUAAUCACAAAACGGUUUCAUUUCACUAUAAACCAAACCAAGCUCGUCAUAGAUCUCUUCCCAUCUCGGGUGAGCCUUAUCUCCAACGAGAAACACAUGAAGCUCAUCUUUGAGCUCAACCCAACUGCAACCAGGCUCCUUCUUAAGCUUAAAGCCUCUCAUACUUCUUCUCAAAUCUGAGACCUUUUCCCACAUUCCUGCAUCUGCGUAUACAUUUGAUAGAAGAGUAUAUGCUGAAGAGUCUUGUGGAUCCAAUCUCAACAGAGCAGCAGUUGCUUCUUCUGCAAUCUCUACAUUGUUUCUAUGUAUCGUGCAGACUCCUAACAAGGUUCUCCAUAUAACAUCGUCUGCUUCGUAUGGCAUCUCCCUAAUAAGCUCUAAUGCUCUCUUGACUUUUCCAGAUUUUCCUAAGAUAUCUACCAUGUUCGAGUAAUGAGGUAGCUGAGGAUCCAAGCCAUAGUCUCUCUUCAUCAUGUAGAAGUACUUGAGUCCUUUGUCGAUUAGACCCAUAUGAGCACAAGCUCGGAGUAUCGAUAUGAAAGUUACGUGAUUUGGUUUGAGGUUUUCUAGUAUCAUUCUCUCAAACAGUUGUAUAGCUUCCUCUCCUUUUCCAUGAUGUGCAUACCCGCAAAUCAUGGCGUUCCAGGUCACAAAAUCUCUUCUCAUCGCCUUCUCAAACAUCAAUCUUGAAUCAUGGAGAUCUCCACAUUUCGAGUACAUGUCAACGAGGGUGCUGCAGAUAUACACAUCAGAUUGCAAUUCUUUCUUGAUGACGUGAGCAUGAAUCUGUUUACCUAAUCCAGUGGAAGCUAGAUUCGCACAGGUAUCAAGAACCGUUGCAUAAGUAAAUUUGUCAGGAGUUAUACCCAUAUCCAUCAUCCGGGUAAAAAGCAUCUGAGCAUCCUCGCUUUGUUCCUUCAUUACAUAUCCGGAAAUUAUUGAAUUCCAUGAGACACACAUUUCCUGCAGUCUCUUAUUGUGCAUCUUUUCAAGCUCUUCCAUUGUUCCCGACACAUAAGCUGGUAGAAAAAAUCGCUGAUGUAUCUUCUCAGCCUCUUCUAUCAUUCCACACUUCGAAUACAUAUCGAUCAGAGAGCAUCCAACAGAGGAAUUUGAAGUCAUUCCUGAUUUGACAAUGCUGGAAUGAAUUUCCAUUCCAUAACCCAAAGAACUACCAGCACAAGCUUUUAAUACGCUUCCAUAGGUAAACUCAUCAGGUUCAAUCCUAGAACGGAGCAUCGAGACAAAAAGAGAAAGCGUUUCAAAUCCUUUUCCGUUUUGCUCAUGUGCUGCUAUAAUCGCAUUCCAAGACACAGCAUCUCUUCUUCCCAUCUCAUCAAAUACACAAAAGGCUUCAGCCAGAGCUUGACAUUUCCCAUACAUGUCAAUAGCAGCAUUUGCAACGCAAACAUCUAGCGAUAAGUUGCUUUUUAUUGCCAAACCAUAAAGCUGAAGCCCCUCUGAAAGACCUUUCACUAAGGCACAAGCCCUGAACACUCCUGAUAAACUUAUUUCGUCAAAACCAAGACCCGAUGACAUUAGUCCGUGAAACAACCUUAGAGCUUUGAAACCAUGUUCUUCCUGUGAAUAACCAGUAAUCAUUGCGUUAUAAGAUUGUCUAUUAAGAUUUUCUGACUUGUCAAACAAAAUUUGAGCAUCUUGCAUAUUAUCACACUUUGCAUACAUAUCCAAUGUGGCCGUUCUCACUAUACCAUCUGCUGCAAAAUCUGACUUUAAGGCAUGAGCAUGUAAUUGACAGCCUAAUCUCAAUUCGGAUAAGGCAGCACAUGACCUUAAGACGCUAGCGUAAAUUGACUGGCUCACUCCAGCAUUUACCUUUUGCAUCUCCUUGAAAAACUUGAAAGCAAGGGGCAACAAGUUAUUCUGAACACAACCGGCGAUUAUAGCACUCCAGGAGACAGAGUUCUUGUCUGGAAUACCUUGAAACAGUCUAAGAGACUCGUCAAAUCUCUUGCCUUUUGCAUACAUAUCCAACAAUGCACUUGCAGCUACCACAUCAGUAUCACAACCCACUUGAACAAUAAUCCCAUGAAUCUGCAUUCCUAAACUGGUUUCCUCUAAAUAGGAACACACUUUAAGGAUGAUUGCAAAAGUUCUACCGUCAAACUCCAUACCUGCUCUCCCCAUGUCAAGGAAAAUAUCAAUAGAUUUCAAACUCUCACCGUUCAGCAGAUAUCCAGAAAGCAUUGAGUUCCACGACACAACAUCUCUCACAGGCAUCUUAUCGAAGAAAGAACUCGCUUUAGCCAUGUCAUUACUCUUGGCGUAACCAUUAAUCAUUUUGUUCCACGAAACAACAUCUCUAAGCGGCAUUCUGUCGAACACCAUAGAAGCAGACAUGAAAUCUCUAGAAUUUGUAUAAACCUGAAUCAAACAGUUCAGUACGAAUGUAGUGGGACGAAAACCAGAUAGUAUCAUAUGAGCAUGAGUUUGCUUUCCCAGCUCUAGCGCUCCUUGCUUGGCACAUUCCUUGAAAACAAACGAAAAGUUGGUCGUGCUAGUUGCGUUCACUUGAUUCACAAAAUCCGUAAAGUAAGAGAAGACUGGAACUCUUCGGUACGAAAUUUUAUCUGUCAGACAUCGAUUGAAUGAAACCACUGCUCUGGUCAUAUGCAACAAUCUGAGAUUCUCCGCCAUGAGUCAUAAUGAAUUGAACCUCAGCCCCGUGGUAUCUAUGGCGGGAUUGAAACGAUUACAACUGAUUCGGUUCGGUUUACUCGGUUUUAAAAAUAUGUAAACCGACUGAAAUCGAAUAUCAAUGAGCUGUAACUCAACCGGUUUAAUAAACGGCUGAAUGUACGCUAAGAGUCGUCGUAAAGUCAACAAAGUCGUUGUAGUAUAGUGGUAAGUAUUCCCGCCUGUCACGCGGGUGACCCGGGUUCGAUCCCCGGCAGCGGCGUUAACCUUUUUAUUACGUCAACACUUCGUCUUAUCUGACAUAUACACAUCAUCAUAAUAUUAUAUCCUUUGUGUACGAAUGCAUACGAUUUUCCCUCUGAAAUUUCCUUUUUCCUUUUUUUUUUUCUUUUACAUUUUUCUCUGAAACAAAACAAUGGCGUCGACGAAGCCCGGUCACGCAAUCAACCUUGAAGAACAGGCGGAAGGCGACGGUGUAGUCGUAGACCACCCGAUUUUUAUACCGGAGGCCACUAGCUUGCUCGUUUCCUACUCUCCGUUCGACAACAGGGACAUCGAUUGCAAUCCUUAUUUCCCUUUCUCAGGACCAAUUUCAGAUUCUGGAUCAGGUUCUUACUCGGAUUCAGAACCCGAUCCGUACAUAUGUCCCAUCGAUUUCUUCGAUCAAGAUUCGUCCGAGGUUGACGCGGCUGAGUACUUGGAAUCGGAAGGGCUGUCCCCCGGUGAUUUCAAUAUUUGGGGCUUUUAUGACCCCAAGGAAGACGAAGAUGAGAUAGUUUUGGGAACUAGAUGUGUAUCUGGAUCCGGGUCGGAUCAGCAACCGGGUGAUUCAGGUGAGCAAGGGCUUCGAGUGACCGGGAUCGAUUCGGAUUCCGACUUUGAAGAUGACGUGUUUGGUUAUACCUCUGAAGAUAGCGGGAAUAGAGCAAAUGAUUCGGAUCGGGUCGAGGUUGGUACGGGUCUCCCUCCUAUAUGGGAUAGCGUCUUCGGAGAGGAAACCAUGUUGGCUGAUGAAGAAUGGGAGGAGGUGCAGAACGCAAUUAAUUGGACGGUUAGGGCUUUUGGUAGACCUGAAGAAGAAGAAGAAGAAGGUGAAGAUGAAUUGUCUUCACUCUCAAGGGAUGAUGAAGAAGAGCAUGAACUGGAUUGGGAGGUUUUGUUAACUGUUAACAAUGUUGUUAAUUAUAUCGAACAAGCAGAAGGAAUCAUGAUAAACACUGAUGAUAUCGAUCCGAAUUAUUACCUUUAUCUAGCUAGUUUGGAUGAAUUUGAUGAAAAUCAAAGUGGACACUAUGAUGCUGAUGCUAUUCUUGGGCAAAUGUUUGAUAACGAGACUGGAAUCAAAGGAAAUCCUCCAGCAGCCAAAAGUGUAACUGAGGAUCUUCCAGUUGUGGAACUCACAGUGGAGGAAUUGAACAAAGGGAACGUGGUUUGUGCGAUAUGUAAAGAUGAAAUGGUAGUGGAGGAGAAAGUAAGGAGGCUUCCUUGUAAGCAUUUCUAUCAUGGAGAGUGUAUUAUGCCUUGGUUGGGGAUAAGGAAUACUUGCCCUGUUUGUCGGUAUGAGCUGCCUACUGAUGAUCUUGAGUAUGAAACGCAUAAGAGCUCACAAAGAAGUGAUACCAGUUUGGCAAGGAAUCUACCGGGUAUCUAUAGAUAUAGUUAAAUGAAUUUGAAGUCUCUGUUGUCCAUGUUAAUAGCCACGUUUCAGAGGCAAAUCCUGAAACCACUAUCUUUUAUAGUAAGCUGCACUUGCCGUGGAUGUGAUAAUGUUCAUGUUGUAAAUGUAAAUAUUCCUGUUUUGUGAAAUAAACCAUGUUUAAACUUGGAACCCAUAAAUCUUGCAAGUGUUUGUGAAGUUAAUAUUCUUCAUAGUUGUUACCCAUUGACGAUUCUUAUGCAAGUUUUUGGAUGAUCUGGAUAGAUCAGUACUAUAGGUUACCCGUAUGUAAUGGAUUUGAUUAUAGACCUCUGCGAUGCUACUUGUUUUCUCAGUGAAACUUAUGUUUGUAUUGUUGCAGGACUCCAUAUAGUAUCUUACAGAUUCUAUAAGGUUUGUAAAAGUAAUAUAAAGUCUUAUCACAGGACUGGUAUGUUAUGCUAUAUAUGUCUGAUAUGAUUGUAUCUUUUUUUGUUUUACCCGAUCAAGUUCGCUGAGUUUUAAAGAAGAAAUCAAAGACUGUCUAUGGUCGCCUGUCAUCCCGGGAAAUGUUGAAACACCAUCUACGAGCUUUGCAAACCAAGGUUCCAAUACUCUUGUUACAAGUUGUCGUCUUUCUCGGGGAAAAUACCGAAUAUCGUGAUGUUUUAAUUGAGAACUACGUGCCGUUUAGUCGUUUAAUUGAAAUAUGGCCCCAGAUGGCCCAAAUAUCAGCCUGUUAUAUUUUAAAGCCCAUAUGAGAAGCAAAAGAGAGAAUAAAUUAACGGGGGUGAGACAUAAAAAUAAACGAAACAAAAGGUGUGAAUGUGAAAAAAAAAAAAUGAAAAAAAGUUUUAGAUUUGGCAAUUGAUCGCACCGACGCGGAAAGCCUUUGGUCUCCCUGACUCGUCAGUCGUCACCAUCCUCUCCAAUCUCCAUUACAUAAUAUUUUGUAAGUUAGUUAGCAGUGCACUAAUAAAUAUUUUGUAAUUAUUUUUAUAUGAUUAAAUUUAUUAACGUGUUUUCUUCACUAAAUGUUUGAGAUCUAUCCGUCACACUCCAGAGGUUAACUCAGUCAUCUGUCUCUCUGGGACAAGCAAGUACCUCACCGACGAAUCGAAUCGAAAAAUUCCCGAUCUCGACCUGUAAAGUUGAAGUGUAUCGGUAGAAAUGGCGGUGGCCUUCCGUGGAGGCCGAGGCGGUGUCGGAUCCGGCCAGUCUGCCGGACUUCGUAGUUUCUUCUCUUACCGGAUCUUUAUCUCCGCUUUGUUCUCUUUCCUCUUCCUCGCCACUUUCUCCGUCGUUCUUAACUCUUCUCGUCAUCAACCUCAUCAAGAUCAUGUACGCAUCUCCAAUCUCUGAGCUCCUUUAAUUCUCUUGGGUUAUGCUUUUAUCGAUUUGCAAUUCAAUCAAACAAAAUUAGAAAUGAAUGAAUCGGUGAUAAUUUCUUUGAAUAUUAUAUCUGAGCUUCGAUAUUUUUGUUUGUGGUGUGGUUUAGACAUUGCCGAGUAUGGGAAACGCAUAUAUGCAGAGGACGUUUUUGGCUUUACAAUCGGAUCCAUUGAAAACAAGGUUGGAUCUGAUACACAAGCAAGCCACUGAUCAUCUCACACUUGUGAAUGCAUAUGCUGCUUACGCCAGGAAGCUUAAGCUUGAUGCUUCCAAGCAGCUUAAGCUGUUUGAAGAUUUGGCUAUCAACUUCUCGGAUUUACAAUCAAAACCUGGUUUGAAAUCUGCUGUGUCUGACACCGGCAAUGCUCUUGAGGAGGAUACGUUUAGGCAGCUUGAGAAAGAAGUUAAAGAUAAGGUGAAGACAGCCAGGAUGAUGAUCGUUGAGUCUAAAGAGAGUUAUGAUACUCAGCUUAAAAUCCAGAAGUUGAAAGAUACAAUCUUUGCUGUCCAAGAACAGUUGACCAAAGCUAAGAAAAACGGUGCUGUUGCAAGCUUGAUUUCAGCCAAGUCGGUCCCUAAAAGUCUUCAUUGUUUGGCCAUGAGGCUUGUAGGUGAGAGGAUCUCAAAUCCUGAGAAGUACAAGGAUGCUUCACCUGACCCAGCUGCAGAGGAUCCAACUCUUUACCACUAUGCCGUUUUCUCUGACAAUGUGAUUGCUGUCUCAGUUGUCGUGAGAUCGGUUGUGAUGAAUGCCGAGGAGCCAUGGAAGCAUGUCUUCCAUGUGGUCACCGACCGAAUGAAUCUUGCAGCCAUGAAGGUCUGGUUUAAGAUGCGCCCUUUGGACCGUGGUGCCCAUAUUGAGAUCAAAUCCGUGGAGGAUUUCAAGUUCUUGAACUCUUCAUAUGCACCGGUCUUGAGGCAGCUCGAGUCUGCAAAGUUGCAGAAGUUUUACUUCGAGAAUCAAGCUGAGAACGCAACUAAAGAUUCCCAUAACCUCAAGUUCAAGAACCCGAAAUAUCUCUCAAUGUUGAACCAUCUCAGAUUUUACUUACCAGAGAUGUAUCCCAAGCUGAAUAAGAUUUUGUUCUUGGACGAUGAUGUUGUGGUGCAGAAAGACGUGACUGGUUUAUGGAAAAUCAACUUGGAUGGCAAGGUGAAUGGAGCUGUUGAGACAUGCUUUGGCUCUUUCCAUCGAUAUGGUCAAUACUUAAACUUCACUCAUCCUUUGAUCAAAGAGAGCUUUAGCCCCAGUGCUUGUGCUUGGGCCUUUGGAAUGAAUAUAUUUGAUCUCAAUGCCUGGAGGCGCGAGAAAUGCACUGAUCAAUACCAUUACUGGCAGAACUUGGUAAGUCCAUCAUGCUUAGUGGUAUAAUGUAUAACUCUUUCUUAGUAACUUAGACAUAUCAAUGCUGUUGAUGUGCUUACAUUCUGUUGAUUCUGUUUUUGCUGAGCAGAAUGAAGACAGAACUCUUUGGAAAUUGGGCACUCUCCCCCCGGGAUUGAUCACAUUCUAUUCAAAGACGAAAUCACUGGACAAAUCUUGGCAUGUGCUUGGGUUAGGAUACAACCCGGGAGUGAGCAUGGACGAGAUCAGAAAUGCAGCAGUGAUCCAUUACAAUGGAAACAUGAAACCAUGGCUUGACAUUGCAAUGAACCAAUACAAGUCUCUCUGGACGAAAUAUGUCGAUAACGAAAUGGAGUUUGUGCAGAUGUGCAAUUUUGGUCUCUAAAGAGAGGGAUGAUAAAAAAAAAAAAAACCAAACCCGAAAGAGGCAAAAAAUCGGAGAAGAGGUAACCUUGGAUCGAUUUGUUUCUGUCUUCCUGGGCAAUUCUUUAACUGAUACGUUUAUCUUUAUAUAGGGGUUACAAAGUAUUUUGCUUGUUAUUUCUGUCAUAGUUUUGGUCUUUAUUUAUAAAUUAUGUAAACUCAUCACAGCAAUAUGUUCUCCAAACUACAAUGUCUGUCUUUGUUGUCUUUCUUUCAUACUUGUCGGCCUAAGAAACAAUCAUCAAGAAACUCAAAUGUGUCCUAAAGGAUUAUUCUUCCCUUUCUAGAAUGCUCUCAUAAUAAUAUACAGAUAUGAGUCUGAACGUACAAGUGUAUUAGGCUCAAACUUGGCGGUUGUUGGUGAUGAAUUAGGAUUUUGUUGGAGUGAAAUAUUCUUCUGAAAGAAACAGUGUUAAGAAACAGUGUUUCAACUUAUGCCAAAACACGGUUUAGAAUGUCAUGUGCAAUACUUGGCACACAAAAAAAAAAAAAGAAUUGAAUUUAUGAACAAAGUACAAUACUGUAUAUGAAUAUGAACUAAAAGCGUAUGUAGAACUCUAUAAAACACCAUUUCAUAAACUUUAUGUACAUGUGAAGAUCCAAUAGAAUACGAACGACUACCACCACCAACCCAACCCUUUUCUCACCUAACGCAGAGUGGCCAAUUUUGACAAUACUUUAAAACAAGAAAGGGAAUAAAAAAAAUUAUAAUUAUUAGUGGUGGUGCGAAUCAGAUCGUUCAUUUGCUAUAUAUCUGAGACAUAACAAAAAACAUCACUAAUAAUCUCCUCCAAUCUUAAGAUCUUUUCCUCAUAUUAUAAUUUGUAUUGGACAAAUCUCAAAACUCCAUCUCAGGAGAAAGCAAAGCAGGUUUGUUUCUCCGAUCACACUCUGUCUCUCGUUUUCCCAAUCAUAUUUUUGAUUUGCAAUCUGAUUCUUCCAAUCGCUUUUCGAUAUAAUUGAUGUGUUACCGAAAUUUCGGGAAAAAGUGAUCCAGAAAUUUGUGUGUCGUGAUCUAGUACUUUCAUUGCAAAUUCUCAUUGUUAUCAUGUUCUUUAGAUCGCUAUUUUGGGUCUAAAGCUAAUCGAUUCUCAGUGUAUGCUAUUUUCGUUACAAAAAUGAGAUUUUUCAUGCUGGUUUAUUGAUUCCUGUGUUCUAAGAUCUUGGAGAUCUUAUAUUCCUGCUUUAAAUCUUUGGGUUUAUAUUAUAGAUCGAUCAAGCAAUGAAGCUGUUGUCUGUUUUAUAUACAUCACCUCUUUGGUCUAAAGUGUUUAGCUUCUCUUUGAUUUGAGAUUUGUAAGAGAAGUUUUUUUUUUUUUGGCAGAGGGAAGAAAACUAAAAAAAAAAAAAAUGGCUGGUCAACCUACAAGAAUAGGUCUUGCUGGACUGGCUGUGAUGGGUCAGAACUUAGCUCUCAACAUUGCUGAGAAAGGCUUCCCAAUCUCUGUUUACAACAG